UGAUAAUAUUAAGGGUACCAAGUGAAUUAGCAUGGUUAUUCACACCUUGUUUUGUGAUCCUCGGCAUCCCAGUCACAAAACUUGAAGGGCACAAUCGAGAUUGAAACAUGCCAUUGAAAAGUUCAAUGAAUCUCAAAAGAAUCUAGGAAUUUCAAAUCCAAUUAAAACCUAAUAAUUCAUUUUGUUUUUCAUGGUGGAAAUUGGUGAAUCGUCAUUCACCUACCUUUCAAAUAUAUUAUUACUUAGAUUACGGCAUCCCUCUUCUAAGUAUAAUAUAUUGUGAUUGGGUCCUAGCCUUAAUAUUACAUUUGGGUGUCUUAUUAAGGAUUCUAUAUAUCUAAUCUAAACUUGCUUUCUUCUUUCAGAUGUCUUCCAACACUAAUGCUUCAGGCUCUAACCCAACUGGUUCUUUCUCUCUCAUGAAUCUUUGUGGGAGGGUCAUCUUUGAUGGUUCCAACUUCAUGGAUUGGAUUAGGAACAUCAGGAUGGUUACUCGUUAUGAGGACAAGGAAUAUGUCCUCGAUAAGGAGUUAAAAGAGCUUGAUGAGUCUACUGCUACUCCUGAGGAGAUCGCUGAAUUCAGGACACAUGAGAGAGAUGCUACUAAGGUGGCAUGUAUCAUGAUGGCCACGAUGACAGCCGAGCUCCAAAAGUCAUAUGAAGAUUUCUACCCUUUUGAGAUGCACCAAGACCUGAUGGAAAGGUACCAUCAGAGUGCUCGUCAGGAGCGGUAUGAAAUAAUCUCCUCCAUAAUAACUACCCGCAUGAAGGACGGUGAUUCCGUCACGGCUCACAUGCAAAAGAUGCAAAGGUAUGUGGACCGUUUGCUGAAGCUGAAUGUGAACAUCCCUGAGGAGUUGGCAAUUGACAUCAUUUUGCACUCCUUACCUUCUUGUUAUGACCAUUUUCGUAUGACAUAUCAUAUGAACAAGGAGGAAGUUACCCUCAGCAAGCUUCAAGGACUCUUGAAGACCGCUGAAACCGGUCUUAAGGGCAAGGCGGUUGUUACCUCUACUACUCCUACUCCAACAUCUACCCCUGUUUUGGCUAUCGGGCAAGGCAAAGGGAAAAAGAGGAAGCACCCUUCGAAGGGUACCAAGGGAAAGUCUCUUGAAGGCUCCUCAUCGAAGACCAAGAGCGGUUCUGUCACUCCUUCUGCCAUUCCCAAGGAUGCUGAAUGCUUUUAUUGCCAUGAAAAGGCACACUGGAAGCGAAACUGCCCUAAGUACUUGCAGGAUCUAAAGGAUGGGAAAGUGAAACCCACCCAUGCAGGUAUUUACACUAUAUUGUCUAAUUACUCAUCAUAUUCUAACUCUUGGGUGCUUGAUACAGGAUGUGGUAUUCACAUAUGUUCUGAUAUGCAGGGCCUAAGAAGAAGUGAGGAUGUGGAGCAUGGGAAGAUAAACUUGAUCAUGGGGAAUAGGAAGGCUUCACAUGUUUCCAAGAUUGGAGUUUAUACUUUUUUGCUUAAUAAUGGGUUUAAAUUAUAUUUGAAUAAAUGUGUGUACUCGUCUGAAAUGGCGAGAAAUAUUAUUUCUUUUCAUGCUUUGUCCAAACAAGGUUUUACCUUUUCGUUUGAUAAUGAAUGUGGUGGUAUUAGUGCUUUCUUUAAAAAUGUGUUUUAUUUUAAAGCGUUACCUUGUGAUGGUGUGUAUGAAACCGUGUCGAUUGUAGACAACUUAGGAAAUAAUGUGUUGUAUAUUGAUUCUUCUACUAGCCUAGAUAAAGCAUCAUUGUGGCAUUGUCGUCUUGGACAUGUAAACAAGAAACGCAUAGGCCAACUCCAAAAGAGUGGAGUACUGGAAUCAUUCGACCUUAAAUCGGAUGAUAGUUGUGAAUCUUGUCUACUUGGAAAGAUGACAAAAUCACCCUUCGCUGGAACUUGUGAAAGGGGUGAGGGUUUGUUGGACCUAAUACAUACUGAUGUAUGUGGGCCUUUCAAAACCGCCACAAGGGAUGCUAAUCGGUAUUAUGUGACUUUUAUUGAUGAAAUAUAUCAAACGCUGAAUAGUGAACAGUAACUUCUAAAUCGUUUAGCGAUGUUUCGACUCCUUGUUAUUUCACAGCGACGUCAAACUUGGAACACCAGUUGCAUCAAGCAUUCCUAAUCCAGACAAGAUCCUUAGAAUGUACUUCUCAUCCAAAUGUUUUGUAAAGAUGUCAGAAAACUGAUCCGUCAUUUUCACAAAGUGAACCUCGAUUUUUCCAUCCUCGACAUGAUCCUUGAUAAAUGAUAGCGAAGUGCUAUAUCCUUCGUCUUCGAAUGUUGCACCGGAUUAUAGCAGAUACGUAUUGCACUUUGUGAAUCACAAUACAAAGGUAUCUUUUUCAUUUUGAUUGCAUAAUCACGAAGUUGAUUUUGUUUCCAUAUGACUUGAGAAGUGCAAGCCGCAGCAGCAAUAUAUUCUGCUUCUGCUGUGGAAAUCGAAACACAAGUUUGUUUCUUCGUUUGCCAGCUAACAAGCUUCACGUCCAAUACUUAACAUACACCAUUAGUUCUUUUUUCUUCCGAUUUGACAUCCACCAAGAUCUGCAUCAAAAAUUACCUGAAUAAAGAAACCCGUGUUAGAAUGCUACCAUAAACCCAACAACACAGUCCCUUUGAGAUAUAGAAAAAUAUUCUUUACAACUGUUAAAGGGGGUUCCCUGGGAUUCAACUGUUGCCUAGCACAAUUGCAAACAGAUAACAUAAUGUCAGGUCUACUAGCAUUUAAGUAUAGUAAUAAACCAAUCAUGCCCCUGUACAAGGUAAUAUCUACAACAGGCUAAUCCAUAUAUGCUUUGACGAAUAUUCAAUCCUAGAAAACUGUUGAUCGUACCCAUCAUACUCAUCUCAAAUCGACUUUUCAGCAUAUGUUCAAAUUUGCUAGGCAAUAAAGGGUCAGUAGAACCAAAAAUAAUAUCAUUUACAUAUAUUGGAACGAGCAUCAAGUGAUCCCCCACUUUCUUUCGAAAUAGAGUGGGAUCAACAGAUCCUUCUUUUAAUAUCGAGAGUUUAAAGAAAUUGGUAAGAGUUGCAUAGCUUUAUCGAGAACAUAGAAAUGAUCAAGGUAUUUAUCAUUUACAAGACCUGAUGGUUGUUCAACAUAAGCAUUUUCUUCUAAGACUCCAUUAAGAAAAACGCACUUGACAUCGAUCUGAUAAACAUCAAAGUUUUUGUGUGAUGCAUAAGCAAGAAAUAUUCGAAAAAAACCUCGAGUCUCGCCAUAGGAGCAAUUGCUUCAGCAUAAUCAAUACCUUCUUGUUGUGAAUAUCCCUUAACAACCAACCUUGCUUUGUUUCGAAGAACAUUUCCUUCUUUGUCAGUGUUAUUUUUAAAAAUCCAUUUUAAGCCUAUAACUGAUAGAUCAUCAGGUUUUGGAACAAGUUUCCGAACCUUGUUUCUUUCGAAUUCAACAAGUUCAUAUUGCAUGGAAACAAGCUAAUCAGGAUCUCCCAAAGCAGCCUUGACUGAUUUCGGUUCUAUUUUUGAGAUAAAAACAUUAAAAAUGCAAAAUUAUUGAUGCGCAUUUAGUACCUCAUUUUUACCAUAAAGCCAAGCUCUUGUCAAAAUGUCAGCUUUAGGAUCACCAAGAACUUGUUCUUUAGGAUGAUUUCGAGUCCAUCUGUCCAUAGGUGGAAAUGCAGGAUUGAAAUCCAAAGCUGCAUCUUCGAACAUUUCAUCCAUUUCAGAACCUUCACAUGCAUUAGACACAUUAUCAGUCACAUCAUUGAAAACUUCAGUUUGUUCAUUUGAAUUAGUAGGUAUAAAUCCCUUUUGCUCCCCUUCGACAAUUGGAUUGAUAUUUUGAUGCUCCUCCUCAACAAUUGGAAUUAUAUUUUGAUAUCCCCCCUCGACAAUUGGAUUGAUAUUUUGAUGCUCCCCCUCGACAUUAGUAGUCGAACAUCCAUGCUCCCCCUCGACAUCAUCAUGCGAAUUCAAGUGCUCCCCCUCCACUUGAUCACCUUGCAACAUUGAUUGCCUUUUGACAUGAAUUGGAGAUUUUGUUGUUGAAUGUGAAACAUCAUCUUCCUGAGUAAUUGUUGAAUCAUCUGAAUGUUUCGAUGCUUUAGGAAUCUGAUUAUCAUCAUCAUGAAGUUCUGCAUCUAUUGCCUGUCAGGAAUACAAAAAAUUAAGUCAUAAUCUAAACCAAAAGAAUUGGUAAUUUUUGACUUAUCAUUUGUUUAUGUGAGGAUUGGCUUUUGUUCAAAAGUAUUUUCAACAUGCUUAACAUAGUAAUCAUCAAAAGUUAGAUUAAAAGUCUCUUCAAUCUUCCUUAUUCUUUUGGUCAACACCCGAUAUGCGACUUAAUUGAUUGAAUAUCCAAAGAAUAUUCCCUCAUUAGCUUUGGACUGAAAUUUCGAAAGGUUAUCUUUGAGAUUCAUGAUAAAGCAUCUACAACCAAAAAAAUGAAAAUAUUUCACAUUGGGUUUUCGAAUGUUAAUUAUUUCGUAGGGUGUGAUAUUAAAGAGUUGAUAAAUAAAUGAUCGGUUUUUAGUGAAACACGCUGUUGAAAUUACUUCUGCCUAGAGAUAUUAUGGUAAAUUCGCAUAGGUGAGCAUAGUCCUAGCCGCUUUGUAAAGAGACCUAUUUCUCCUUUUGACAACACCAUUUUGUUGAGGUGUGUAAGGAGAUGAAAAAUUACGUGCAAUCCCUAGAUCAGUCAAAAAUGAAUCGAGAACAUGAUUCUUAAAUUUUGAGCCAUUAUCACUUUUGAUAUUUCUGACUUUCUUUCUCAAACUGAGUUCAAAGUGCUUGAUGAAAUCAAUCAUUACUUGAGAAGUUUCAGACUUCUAACAAAGAAAGAAAACCUAAGUAAACCGUGAAAAAUCAUCAACAAUGAACAAGAUGUACCUUUUCUUGUUGAGAGUCUCAACAAUCGAAGGUCCAUAAAGGUGAAUAUGAAGAAGUUCCAGAGGUUCGAUGAUCUUCGAAUCGAUGACUAUUGGAUAACCUUGAUGGUGUUGCUUCCCCUGUUCGCAUGCUGCACAUAACGAAUCAUUAUCAAAUUUUAAAAUGGGUAAGCCUCGAACAAGAUCAUUUACCACCAAUUUGUUCAGAUUUUUAAAAUUCAGAUGAGACUUUCUUUGAUUCCACAGCCAGCUCAAAUUAGAUCACACCUUUGAAAGUAAGCAAACUAAUGGUACACUAAUGAUUGGCUUGUUGUCAGAGUGAACAUAUCACCUUUCCCCUUAGAUUUGAGCAAAACUUGUUUGGUUUAUUUGUUCAAAAUGACACUACCUUUCACAUCAAAGACCACUUGAUUACCAGUGCCCACAACAAAUUGUGAAAAACUUACCAAGUUGUGUUUAAGACCUUCAACGUAUGCCACUCGGUUGACUGUGAACUUUCCAUUUGUAACUUUCCCAUAGGCUUUAACCUUGCAUUUCUGAUUAUUUCCAAAUUUCACAACUACAACAUUCUCCAAACUUCGAUAAUCUUGAAGAUUUUCCUUCCGACCUGUCAUGUGAUGGGAGCAACCACUGUCGAUGUACCAGUGCGCAUCAUAGUGCUCGUCACUUAACACCUAUGAUCAAUUAAAUAAUUUAUGUCCCCAAGGCUGUUUGGGUCCUUGGUGAUUAGAGUGAAAUGCAUUAUGAAAUGAUGCACCUAAUAACCAAUUGUGAAAACUUCCCUGAUUGAUAUGGCUUUCUUUUUCCUUCAAUCCAAUGAUUAAUAUUCUUCGAGUCAGUUUUCCUGUUUACAAAUGAUGGUUUUGCAUGGGUUUGAAAACACUUUUGAAAAAGUUUUGUUAUAACCGACAAAUGUUCGAUUUUAAACUUGUUGUCCAUUCGUAAAUCGUUUUUUAUUUUGAAAUUGAUGAAAAUUUCUUUGUUCAUAUUGUUUAAAACAAUUUCUAUGAAAAUUAUUUUGUGAAAACUUUUCAUUUUGACGAUUAGGAAGAAAAUUCCUUUGUUGUUGAUUUUGAACAAAAUUCUCAUUUCUUGGUUUUUGAAUUUUUGAAUGACUUCUUGAGAAAUCAUUUUGUUUUAGAGCAGGUUUGUUCUAAACAAAAGACUUAUUUUCUAGAAAAGUCUGAACUUGUUUAAUCGUUUUCUAAUCAGAAAAUUUUUGUGCAAAUUUCUUUGGUUUCUUAGAAGACUUUUUAUUUUUUGAAUACACCUUGUUUCGAGCUUUUGACAUCGAAAUUCCUUCUUCUUUUGAAACUUUUGUAUUUGUUCAUUGAAAAUUUGUGUUUUUUACUGUCACACCCCCAAACCAAGGAUGGCGGAAACGUCCGGGGGUGGAGGACUUCAUGUACAAUAUCACAACAACAUGUAUAAUAGUGCUCAAAGUAAAUACAACCAUCAUAAAUAUAAUUGAAAAAGUUACACCAAAGUAUAUGUUUACAUGUUUCAAAAUCAAUUACAUUAUGAUGACAAAAAUAAAUUGUUGACGGUUUACCGUCCCUUCCUCAAAGCGCUGAAGUUUUCCUGUUUCACUGAUUUCCUGAGAAUACAAGUAGUUUUGAAAAAGUGUCAACAAUUAAGUUGGUGAGUUCAUAAGAGUUUUGUUUUAGAAUGAAGCCGUUUUCCUUGUAAAAUCGAUGGAGUUUGAUCUCCAGAAAAUCCAAUAUUUUCUUAGUUAAGUAUGAACAGAAAAUUCCUAUAUGACGUGUUAAUGAACCGUAGAAUGACCCGUAGCUUUCUCCUAUAAUCGUCCAGCGUAUAUCAGUUAUAUAAGAUUUAAGUUGGAUAAAACGUUGAAUAUAGUGGGUAUGCCCUAGGUCCACAACCAAACAAGGAAUAGGAGAUGAGGCGGGCCCACCAAUUCUACGCCAAUCGAGACUAAAUUCUUAUACGACUCAUGCAUAUACGCUCAGCGAUUAUAGUUGAAGUCUAACAAUUCUAGAUGAAAUAUAGUUUUAAUAUCAUAAUAACUAUUUUAUGUGAACCUGGUACUUUGUAUCUGUACCCNGUACUUUGUAACCCCUUUUUGUAAUUAAAAACCCGAUACUUUGUAUCUGUACCCCUUUUUGUAUAAAAACCCGGUACUUUAAAUUCGUACCCCAUUUAUAUGAAAACCCGGUACUUUGUAUUCGUACCCCUUUUUGUAUUAAAACCCGGUACUUUGUAUUCGUACCCCAUUUAUAUGAAAACCCACUACAUUGUAUUCGUACCCCAUUUAUAUGAAAACCCGGUACUUUGUAAUGUACCCCUAUUCUUGUGAAAACCUUUUGUAAUGUAAAUGAUCAUAAACUAUACCUAUUAUAGUUUAUCAAACUGUUUGAAAUGUGUAUGGAACCUAACUAUACUUAUUAUAGUUUAGUAUGUUUAUUUGUGGUGUUUAAGAAUCCUUUGUAUGUAAGUCAAAUGUGUAGUACAAUAUAGCUAUGUUUAUCUUGCUUUGUUUUGUACCAAUGGUUAUGAUGGAGGAUUCUUAUAAAUUCAGUAAGUAAUUUACUAUUAUAUAAAUAUACCACUACAAGAAAUACAUGUAAUAUAUGAAGUCAUCAAAGAUUUAACACUUUGGUCAACAUGUUACAAAGUGUUUUGAAAGUUAUAAGCUGUUAACUAACUCUUAACCUUUCUGCACUGUUUUAUAAAAAUCAUACGAAGUCGAAUACUAGAUCCGAAAAUUCUGAGAGUUCCUAAAAUGUGUCUAGUUUACUCAAAAAUUUUAUCAUGAUUUUUGGAAGCUUUUAACUUGUAUUAAAAUGCUCAUAUUCAUAGACUGGUCCGGAUUUGUGUUUGAAAAGACAGGCUAUUUUGUAAAAAUCACCAUAAAUUGUAGAAAAAUUGUGUGGAGAUGUGGAAGUAGUCAUUUUAAAGAAAAGAAGUGGAACUACUUGCACUUAAAACAUUUUUUAAAACUAAAAUGUUUAAGUUGUCCAAAACAGUCCGUGAAUGGAGUUGAACUUUUCUGAUGAAGGCUGUUAGAAAAGUUUAGUUAUGUUCUUGGUGUUUUAACUUGUAUUCCCCCCCUAAAAACUUGAGAAAACAUGAAAAUGUAGAGGUAUGAACUCACCUUGAGUGAUUUCAGUAGAUGGAUGAUAGAGAAAAGAAGUGCUCAACACAAGAACACUUGGGAGAUGCUUGAUGAUUUGAGGAGCUAACACCAAAUAUGACGAUAUUUGUGUAAGCACUAUAUGAUUUGAGUAGAAGGAAGUGAAAUAAUCAUAUGGAGGUUAUUAAUACUUACCAAAAGUAGAAGAAAAGCUUGGAGUAUAGCCUUGAAUCUCGAAUUUUAGAGAGAGAAGCUAGAUGAGAGAAAGUCAAGUUUGUUCUUGAUGGAGAAAUGAGAGGAAAUGAAAGAAAUGUGAGGAGAGAGGAGGGUUUUCUAACCCUUGACCAAGUGUGUGGCUGAAAAAUGGUGGGAAAACUACCAUGAAAUGACUAGGUAUGGACUGAUGGGUAACAGUGACCUGGAGUGGGUAUGGGACUGGUUGCUUGUGUCAUAGAAUAAAUGAAAGCCAACGCUCCACCUUUUGUACUUCACCCACUCUUCUUGGAUAAGGUUUUAUCCUUUAAAACGUGAUUAAUCAUUAAUUAUGGGUCCUUAUAUGUUAAAAUAAAGUUUUGGGUGAAAAUCCCGCGUUAAAACAAUUAAAAACGAAGCUAAAAUGAAAUCGUAGUCGAAAACCAGGAAGAAAAAGGCUAACAGCGAGGCUUCUCGGAAGGGGGGCGAAGGUUCGGUCCCUUCUGGUGCUGGGUCCGAAGCGAGGCGAGACAGUAGGGAGUGAAGGGAAGGUUCGGUCCGAAGUCAUCUGGAGCGAAAUAGACCGAAUGAACAGUAGCUUCGGGUUCGGUUCAGCAGCCUUCGGGUUCGGUCCAAGAGGGUUCGGUCCCUAAGAGGACUUUCGGGCCUAAGAGGGGUUUCGGCUCCUUAAGAGGGGUUUCGGGUCCAUAAGCCUAUUUUACUCGUUUUUACCCCGUUUCAAUCCGUUUUUGACCCGGUUAAGGGUCGGAAUGACCCGAAUGACUUCAAAAAGUUACAGGAACUUUUGAGAGAGAUUUGGGAGUGAUUUCAUAUUCUUGAAGAGAUUUCUCAUACAAAGAGAGUUUUGGGAGAGAUUUCACAUACUUAGAGAGAUUUGGGAAAGAUUUGACAUACGUGGGGAGAUUUGGGAGAGAUUCUCGAUAAAGAGAGAUAAAGUGAAAAUGAUUGAGAGAGUUUUCAUUUGUGACCUUUUUGAGUGUUCGGCUUCGCAAAGCAAGGUCCGUAAGCCCCGUUAAGCCUUGAUUAAGGAUCUUACACACUCCCGAUGAGUAUGCAACAUUGUUUUAUCGGUUUGGCUCGCCACGUACCACAUUUUUAGGUUAAGGAGAUCUAGAUGUACGCACUUUUCGAUUUAUGAUCUCUCAUUAGAAUAGCGAGUUGUUUAGUAAUUACAUAACGUAAGCCCUAGUACACAAGGGUUAGUUGAGUUGACCGGUUUGACUUGUUGACUUUAUUUGACUUUGAAUUGACCAGAAUUUGAUGGUUGUCACAUUUUCUUUUGAUUAUGAGAAACCGAUUCAUUUGAUUGUUUGUCAUCAUUUACUUUUUCUGUCUUAACUUCCCAAGUUCUUUUUGGUUUUUACCUUUGAAAAGUAGAUGAAUUCUUGUUAAGAGUAUUUUCAACCGUUCUUUGGUUUGAGAAAACCCUUCUUUCGAAACUUCUUUGUUAUCUUCAACAACAAUUCUUUUGAUCUCAGGAAUCAAUUUGUCUCCAUUGUCUGUAGUGACAAACACCCGAUUGGGAAACACCACAUCAUCGGUGCAUUUGAAAUUUGGGUAAACAACUGAGUUUGAUUCGAGAUAAUGAGGACCUUUUUCCUUCAUCAGUUUUUCGAAUUUCUCUGUUUCCACAUAAAGUUGAUCAACAACAAUUCUGGGAAUAGUUAUUUCGAUUUGGAGCGUCGUCUUCAUCAUUAUCACUAUCAGUUUGACUAUCUUCGAGAAUAUGUGGUUAUAGUCAUGAACUUUCAAUGUUGAGGGUUGGUUAGUGUUAAACUUUUCCAUUGAAUCAUUACAAAUUUCUUUACCCUUAGCCAUCGAAGUGACAUUAAUGACAGAUAACUGAGAACAAUCAACAACUUCUUCCUCCUCAAUUUCACUUAUAUUGUUGGAAUUGUCUUCGAUAUCAGCAAAAUUGGGUUGAGAAUCAGAUGUCGAAUUUGCAGACUUUUUCAGAAUCUUUAUUUGUCCGGUCUUGGUGAAGGUCUUAUUCACAAUAUGUACCAAAUCAUUGUCAUCUAAACAUUCAUCUAUUUUAACAAUACCAUAUGCAUAUGAAUCAUUUGGGACUUUUUCAAAGUCAGAAAUCUUUCUCUCCCAAUCAUAGGAUGUUGAAUAUAUUUUCUCCCUUUCAAAGACCAACAAGGGCAAUAGCUUCCUACGUUGUUCCUUACUAAUGUCAGAGGACUGAUGUAAAUCUAUUAGUUUAGCAUAUAAUUUCUUAGCUGAAUUGUAAUAGAUGUUACGUUGUUUCAUCAAAAAAACAAUUAUCAGUUCUUACAUAAUCCCUAUCAAUAGUAACAUUAUUCAAUUUCAACUCAAGAUUCUAUAUCCUAUUCCUCUUCGAAUCCUAACAUUUUUUGUGUUUCUAGCACUAAGGAUUUCAGUUUUUUAGCAUCACUACUAACAGAGAUAAGCAAGUCAUUAACUUACGUAAUAGUAUCAUCGAAGUAAGACAAAACAAUAUCAUAUGAACUAAAAGGAAUAUUAAAGAAUUUGAGAAGAGACUGUACCUUCAAAUUCAUUGGAGACUUGUGUGCUCCAAUAGAAAAAAAAACAUUUUUCAGUCACUUUCUCCACAUCCUGACUUCCCUCUUCAUACCUCACAUACAUCGCUCCGUGUAUCGGGUUUCUAAUUUCCUCAUCAUCCGACCCAGAUGACCAUAUUUGAUAGGUACCAUCCCCAUCACCACUUCCCUUUGCUACAAGCGACAUCCCCUUCAUCCUUGCUCUCACUUCUUCUAGCCUUUCCACAUAAUAGGCUUCAUCCUUCACUUUAUCCUUCUUCUCCUCUCUCUUCCUCAACAUACAAUCAACUGCCAUAUGAUAUGCACCAUUGCACUAGUGACAAUCAAAACCAGAAUCUCCUUUUAAUUUCUUAUCCACCUUCUUACCAGUAACCUUACUCACUUUCUUCUCAACCUUUGACUCAUCUCUAAUAUUCUUCCUAGAUGAUGAGUUUCCUUUGAAAUCAAUGUUUCCUUUGAACUUUGGAUUGAAUGGCUUCUUAAAGAACUUUUAACUUUGUUAUUUGAAUAAUAAACCACAACUUCAUCUUCCGAAUUCAUGAAAAAACCUUCAUCACCAGAACCAUCAACAUCAACAGAUUCGACUUCAGACUCUUUUCUUGACACCUUCGAAACCAAUCCAAGAGGGCCUCCUAAAUUCAAUUUUCCUUCUUCAGCUAUUUUGUUGAUCUCACAUUCAUGAGCUUUUAGAACAUUAUAGAGAUUUCCCACCAAAUAGUUAUCGAAGCUUUGUUGUUUCUUUAUCAUCAAAUUGAUGUUUCUCCACUCCUUUCGAAGACCUAUCAAGAGGUGAGCUUGUACUCAAGAGUAGAACGAUUGACUCCAUAUUGACUACAUUUGAAGAUCAACCCAUUAAAAUGAUCAUAAUAUAAUUCGAAUGUUUCAUUCUCCUAACUCGAGCAUGUAUUUCUUCACUUAGCUUUUUCUAGUCAUCUCACUUCCCUAAUACUUAUCUUUCGAAGUAUCCCAGAUCUCCUUUCCUGUCUUGCAACAACGUACGUAAUUGUAAACCAUUGGUGGAAGAGCACCAUGAAGUUCUCUCAAACAUCUAUUGUCAUCUUCUGUUUGUUUAUCUAUUUGCUAUAUAACAUCAACAUUAAACAACGGUUUCAACUUGUUCUAGCCUAUUUGCAGGAUGAUUUCCACCAGUAAUGCAUCACCACAAAUAUUCAUCAAUCCCAUUGAGAUAAUCUUCCAUCCUAACAUCCCAUCACUCGUAAUAUUCAGGAAUCAGAAUCCGAAUUUUGGUUGAAGAAUCAAGAAGAUGAGAGAAACUAGUCAUCAUGUUCAUGUUGAAGUUCACCAUUGAUGUACAGACAAAAAUGAUUAAAAGCUUCAGAAAGAAGAAUCUAAUGAACAAAUCUUCCAAAAAACAAACAACAGACUCACGAAAUGUAGAAUCGAAUCGAAAUAGUGUUGGAUUAGUACCUAAGUCCAAAACUAUUUUCGUAUGUACUUGACCCGAUUGUGCAUGGUCCUUUUGGGUUGCCUUCACACUGGUGACUAAACAGGAUGAUUGUUAAGGAGAGAGGCUGGUUUAUUGUUAAGAAUAAUAAAUUAGGGUAUCAAUAUGAUUUGUUAAUAUAUUAUAUGAAUAAUAUAUUAAUUUGGAAUCAUAUUAUUAAUUAGUAUUUAAUCAGAAAUUAAUUUUGGGAUCAAAGGAACUGAGUGAAAGUGUAGGGGCUAUUUUGUAAUUAUUCAAUAGUUGAGGCUUUGGACCAUUGGAUCACCUUUAUUAAGGCUUGAACGAAAAUCCUAGAAGGAUCUAGGAGUUUUUGUCCAAGGGCUCAAGGAAAGGAGUCCAUGGACUUGCUUAGGCCAUAAGCUAAGGGAUUAGGGUUUACACCUUGAAACCCUAGUUAGCCUUAAGUAUAAAUAGCACCCUAAGCCACUAAGAUUUUGUCCAAGCCUUGGGAAACCCUAAAAGGGACGAAAUUUAGAGCAAGAUACCCGUCUCUCCUCUCUCCCAUGUUCAUCCUUUCACCUAGUGUGUUUGUGAGCCAUUAGAGGUACUACACUUGUGGUACUUGCUUUCAAGAGCUAUGGAAAUUCAAGGAACUAGUUGUUAUUGCUAUAUAACAACAAAAUGUAUGUAUUCUAUUUUAUAUAUGAAUUUUGAAAAUAAUAGUAGCAUGCCAGGUUUCUUUUUGUGUUCAUAAAGUUGUAUAACUAAUAGUUAAAAACAUAGAUCCAACUCUAAGGUUGCAUGCACACAUAGGAUUGUUUGUAUAAAACCCAUCAAAUAGUUGAUCAAAAAAUAUUUUCUAGAUAAAAAGUGCAGAAUAUUUUUUAAUAAAAAAAGAGAUUCAAAAACUGUUGAAAACACAAGAAAAAUCAGAAAUCAACUGAUAGAAUCCUACUUUGAAUUGAUUUUAAGAACACAAAACAUAAAUAUAAUAUGUUUUGCUCUUUUAUUGCUUCUGAAAGAGUAAACAAUAUGAAAGAGUAAAGUGAUCUUUUAGUUCACAAAACUUACUCUAAUACCUAUACUUACCCCUAUCUAUAGGAGUUAACAGAAGAACAAAAAAUACAUACGGGCUAAUACACCGAAGCUUCGAGCUCUAAAAUGCCCUUGUGAAAUACAUAUAAGGAAUACAUCGAAACAAACUUCGACACUAGACAUGACCAAAGGUGCUUCAACAUCUCACAACAUAUAUCGAAGUCUACACCUUCAGGUGACCGUUUCCCGAUGUGGUGCCUCCUUCAUUUUGAUGUUCAUCUCCAUAACCCUUAUAAUAUUGCUUCCUUCCUUUCCUCCAGGCUAGCUCUAGGCACUCAGCCACGAAGCAAGAUCUGUGGUGGUAAUUUUAUCUGCCUCUUGGCUCAGUCCUAUGGGAUUGAUACGCAUGGGAUGACUCAUUAUCCCAUUCGAUAUUGGACGACACAACUCUGACAUGGCUAUGAGCGGUUGUUCGUGGUCCAGAUAGGAUUUUGAGGAUUCCGCCUAAAGACGUUCUUGUGCCUAUCCCUCAGGUGGAUCCAGAGCACAAAGAGGAUAAAGAGUUUUAGCUGGGUUAUCGUUAGCAGCGUGUCCUUCGUUCUCCCUUGGUGCUCAGCAGGGUCCGCAACUUGACAUAAAUAUAGCCCACCUCUCUAGGCGUAUGGACGAGCUGACCAUAGAGGUUCAUGAUGUACACCAUUGCUAGCAGUGGAUGGCAGGAGCCAUGAUUGAUUGGUUUGCUUUUCAAGGAUGUUUUUUAUCCCCUUUAUCAGCGACCAAGCUAUAGGGCAGGUACAUCUGGGAGGCAUCACGAAGACGAUGAUGACAACAAUGAUGAUGACGAUGGUGGCGAUGGUGAUGUUGGUGACAAUGAUGAUUAUGAGUAACUGGCUAGUUUUUUUCUUUGUAUAUUUUUUUUUGAAUGUUGUUAGUGGUGAUGUAUGGGUAUAUAUGCUCCAUUUUUGGUAAACAUUCCCACGAUGUAUCUAUGUAGCUUUUUGGUAUUGUAUGUGUACUUUACGUUUUAUAACUUUGUUAGCACAUCUUUGUAUUUAUCUUUGUGCUCUUUUGGAUUGCUCAAGCUUUUACCUUCCUAAUUACCAUAUUUAGGUUUAGUAAUGCAUCAGACCCAUCCAAAAUAAAACACAGCUGAUCAAUUUUAUGUCUAGUAUUGGGUUGGCCAAUGUACUAUUUUACUUAUUUAGGGUACUUAACUAAAAAUAUUGAUUUCUCGUGUAUUAAAAUUUGUUUUUGUACUUCAAGAGUAGAAAAUCAGGAUCAACCAGAUGAGAAGUGUCGGUGGAUAGGAUCAUUUUCGCAUAUAGUUGUUUUGAAAUCCAACAACCCAAGCGAUAGUUCAAACUAGACACCUCUCCUAUAGGUAGUCUAUCGAGAGUGUAUUUUAAUAAUACUUUUAGUUGUAGAUCUUAUGACAGAUCUUUAUAGAGAACACGUCCCUAGGUUAUAGUUGUAUUUCCUAAAGAAUUACUAAUUCGUUAUAACCCUGAGCUUUGAUACCAUUCUGUCACACCGUCUGCCUGGUGGCAGAAACACUGAGUGGCGCGAAUUUCAUAGUUUGUUAACUUUCUAGAAGUGGUCUUUGUAUCAAGUUCCCAUUCCUUUUUGAUAGUCUGAUAGUCAUCUAUAUUCUGUGGUUUAGUCUUUUAUCUCUAUAGUUCGACCUAGGAAUACAUGUGAUUUUGAGAGGUUCAACAUAAUGUUGGUGAGUUUACAAGUUUGGUAGGUGUAGAGAAUACUUUAUUGAUGUUCUUAAGUUAGCACUCCUUUUAACCUCAAACUCAUUUUGCAUGUUACUGUAUCUUCUAGUGUUCUAGUAGUAGGAUCCAGAUAGUUUGAUGACUAAAUCUGAAUCCUGAUUUGGAUAGAAGUUGUAUAAUUUACUUGUUACCUUAUCUCAAGGAUAAUAUUCUCCUAAUAUUUCUUUUUUUUUUGUGUUAUUGGCACUACUUCUCAAGGCGUUCCUCAAUAAUAGUGGGUGUUAUGUUUGAAGAUGUUUCCUCGAGUUGGAGAGAAUUAUCACUAUGCAUAGUUUUAGUUCUAAUUUAACCUAAUCUCACUUCCUUGAGUUUGUGAGUACUAUCACUACUUCCAUAGUUAGGUUCCUAAUGGGAGUCUAAUAUAGUUACGAGUUAGUUCACGUAAACGUACUUCCUCAAGUUUGAGAGUUAGUUCACCAAAUAGUAGUUCAUGAUAGCUAGUUUUAGUUUGACAAAGUUAAUAUGAGGUUCUAUAAUAGAGUUAUGACUAUUGAUCCCGAAAGACUUUCAACUUGCCAUCGGGUUGUAGCUAGCAACCACAGGUGGGACUUUCAAUCCCAUAUAGAUCUAUACAUAUCUCUAUCGUCCAUUUAUGAAUUAACGAUUAUAGUUCGAGUCCUAGUUGAAUAUCAAUCAGUGUGUUGAUGAAUCGUGUUGUUAUUCGCAUUGUGUUUUAUAUGGUAUCCUUAUUAUAUAUAUUAUUUAUCUAAUAUAUAUAUAUAUAAUAUAUAUAUAUAUAUGUGUGUGUGUGUGUGUGUGUGUUUGUGUAUAUACAUACACACAGACACACACACACAUAUAUAUAUAUAUAUAUGUAUAUAUAUAUACACACACACAUAUGUAUACAUACAUGCAUAUACACACACACAUUGUUGAGAGAAAAACUUUUGAGACACACUUGAACAAACGUUAGAACAAGUUAUAUAUUGCGGAAAUAAGUUAAUCUCAAAGGAUCAUAAGGCUCAACAAUAAUAAGAAGUUAGAGUUGCUAGAGUCGUUAGUUGCAGAAAUGUAAGUGCAAAAAGUAGAGGAAAUGUAAAUGACAACAUGUUAUAUAUCAAGUAGACACUAAGUUGAUUCUCAACAAGGUUUGCAUUCAAACCGAGUUAGUUUACUUGAUUAGCUUAAAGUGAAUGAAGUCACAAGGACUUGCUCUGAAGGUGAGAUGAGAGUUUGAUUUUAAUGUAUUUGAGAGUAAGUUCAGUAAGAUCUUAUUGGAUGAGAAGGUUAAGAAUUCAGAGAGAAAAUCUUGUAUUAAUAGAAUGGAGAGAUGUAUUGAUUCAUGAAGUUGAGUGAUCUAUUUAUUAGGACUCGAGAAAUUACAUAGAAAAUAAACAAUGACUAAACAUCUGACUCAUAGUGAUUAUGAAUGCUCACUGGGUAAUACCAAUGUAAACAAAUUAACUAGUAUUUGUUGCGGAUGAGGACGUUGCGGAUUACUUCUUCACUUAUUGUUGCGGUAGCAAAAGAUUUGUUGCGGUAGAAAAGUAAACUUCGAAUUGAUAAGUUUAAGAGGGUCACUUUCUUGUUACAANUGUGUGUGUGUUUAGCUUAGCUGAAAAUUUGGGCAGAGUAACACUAGGUACUAAGCUUAUCCAAAGGUGGCAAUAAUAACGAGUUUAAACAUUUCCUAGCAACUGGACAACAUGAUAACUAGGUAUUAUCCUAUUCCUUUGGGCAUAAUUAUCUAACUAUAAUUACUGAUAAUUACACAAAGUUGUAAUUUAGACAUGCGUUACCUCCCGAAAAGAGUAGAAAAUAGGGUCAUGAACUCACAUGAUAAUUAUGAAACCAUUAAUAUAUGGUAGAAAUACACAAUCUAGGACUUCGAAAGACAUUCGGGGUAGUGGCAAAAGAAGCGAGAUGGAGAGAGAGUGAGUAAGAUUGGUGACGAAAAUGGUCUACGAAGCUUGCUAUUUGUAGCAGGUUUAGGGUGCGCGCUGGGAAAAUAUGCAUGAACCGUACCAUCAUGGCAUCUGUUGUCUCCUUAGUAUGUCAUGCUAUCCUGUAUUUCAAUGAGAUCGUAUGUUAGUACACACAUCGAACUACAUGUGAGCUCGCAUGACGAGAUAAAUCAACUUCGAAAUUCACAAUUCUCGCAUACAAACCCCAUUUUCGAUGAUUCUUAUAUACUUGUGUAAAUCUCUUCAUUCUCUACAACUUUCUUUUUGGUUGUUUUGGAUAGUUUUGAUUUUCGUUUUUCAACAUGUUUUUAUUAUUUUUAAAAAUCAUAUGUUCCUCAUACAAUCUAUGUUUUAAGUGUUCUUUGCUCCAAAAAUCCCUACUUUAAGUAGUACUACGUUUGAUUAGUUGGUGACUUUUCCCAAAAGUCGACCAAUCUCCUUAUAAUUUUCGACGUUGUAACAUUUUAGGUACGACAAACAUUUAUUUACUAUAAAUGUCAUAUCUCGCUCAUACUGUGUCGGAUUCUUGUUAAAUUUAUAUUUCUGGAAGGACAGUAGUGUGUAGAAUCUAAAUAUGUUAAACUGCACGCAAAGUGUUGCGACUUUUUGCGCAUUUAUUUUUGAGCCUAUGGUUCUGACGUUAAUAAGAGUGAUCAUUAAAAUUUUUUGUUUUUUAUAAGAUUGUUUUAUCAUGUUAUGUUUUUCGAAUAUCAACGGCGGCUGGAGGCGUGUAUUUUGUGGGUUGUCACAUAAUCCUUAAAUAUUUGAACCAUUUUCUCACUGGAGCACAAACCCAUUGUAAGAUACCCUAAUCCACUCCGAUGCAUUCUGAUCGAUCUCAAUGGAUCGGAUUUCAAAAGUAGAUGCAAUCAGUUAACACUCAUUUUUUUUCAAAUAGCUUCAACAUCGAGUUUCUAUCUUCAAAAAUAUUAUUUUCAGUAUCGAGUUCCAGUCUUCAAAUAUUUUAUUUUUUAGCAUUGAGUUCUAAUCUUCAAAAACAUUUCUUUUCAGCAUUGAGUUCCAAUCUUAAUAAAUUUUCCAUUCUAAUAAGGAUUAUUCAAAUUGACCUCUAUACCUUCAUCGUCUUUAUCUUCAAAUAGACAUCUGAAACUUCGUCUUCAUUAGAAUUUCAUAUUUAUUAGAAGUUCAUCGUCAUUUACUUAUUUGUCUCCCGCUUGUUUCAUAGUAUCAUCACUAAUCAGAAUAUUCAAAAUAUCAUUAAGCUUGGAGAGAGUACAUCCAUGAGUAAAUUUUCAGAACAAUAACCAAAUAUAAGAAGAGUUUCAUAUAGUCAUGGGAAGAAUGACCUGAAUCAUUAACUACACUUUGUAAAAUCUUCGUUUAGGUUGGUUUGAAUUGAGACCUCAAGGAUUCCAAGUGAAGGGUGUGAAAGGGCAAGAAAAAUUAGAUUUUGGAAAUAUGAAAGGUUGCUAGUGCAUCAUGUAAUCCUAUGGUGAUAGUAGGUGAUCAUCGCACAUAGUUUUAUAUCACCAUAUGUGAUGAAUUGAUUUUAUUCAAAACCCUAGGGCUGCUAUGCAGAAUGUGAUAUAAAUAUGGACAAAAGAAAUAAAUGGAUUGAUGGUGGUACAUUAAAACAUAGUUCAUUUCAUUCAUCAAUUCAAAAGUUGCAAGCUAGAAUUCAUAAACAAAUUUACCGUCAACUCCUUUGUGGUAUUGUUUUGUAGGUCUCACUCUUCAUCAUGGUGAUAACGAUGCCUACAUCCUAGGUGUUUUUGACUAGAGAUGUAUCAGGAUAUGCGUCUUUGUGUGUAUAAAAUGUAAAAAAUAUAAGAUGGUAAUAAGAAACCAGUUUUUAACUCUCCCAUGGUGAUAAUGAGAAUGCUCAUAAAAAACAGUUUUUGAGAAAAAAAUAAGUCUGAGUUGGUAUAGACUCGAACGAUCAAGGGUUAAUAAAAAAUUAUUGUUGAGUAAGCCGUCAAUUACUUAAAUCUUAGAAAAUGGAACUCUAUGUUUAGGUUUGUAUUUACCCAAGACAUCAUCGGUUUCCAAGAUUGGUUAAAAGAGACAUAGUACAUCUAUUGUAAAAACUGACCAAGUAGGUAUCUUUAUACUCCAAAAUCAGUAGAGAAAGGUUGGUCUAUGACUUUUGUUAAUACAACCUAUCGGGAAGAAAUCUUUAGUGAAAGUUUUCAUUAAGGAUUUUUGCAAACAAAGAGUCUUUGAGACUUUGGACAACCUGCUGCAUCAUGCUUCUAGGGACACCUAACUAGUAAAAUUUGAAAAAGAAGAGUACCUGAUCCCCAAGAAAGUAGUCAUGACAUCCAAGUUGUGUUCGAAUUGGAACACCCUUAUUUGCACCGGAACGAUUUCAUUCACAUCAGAUCCACUAUCGAAGUUGAAUAAGAACUUGUUGUGAUUCAUUAUGAUGGUUCAUAACCCAUCGUAAGUCAAUAGUAACCUUCAACCAAAUGUGACUUACUUCGAUGGAUUGCAACCCCUGGCAAGUGAACAUUCAAUUUUCACAAUAUGAAUAAUAAUCUUCAAGAAGACAAACACAAUCUUUUUGAUUUUUUAAAAUUUUUAAAAUUUAAAGACAAUCAUAUCUCUAGAUCUUGUUUAUGUUAGAAUUUUAUGCUUAUUAGCCCCAUUUUCUUGGUCUUUUUUGGUCGGAGCUACCUUAGACGAAAGGAGUUGUCCUUUUGGACAUUUUAGGGUAACUUAAGUGAUAAAAUUGUGAUCUUGGACGUUUUAGGCUCAUUAUAUCCAUGCAUGGACAUAAAUUUUGCAAUGCUUUAGACAUUCUAUAUGCUUUGGAUUUGAAGUUUGGACUUGAUAUCUUAAGGCAUUAAGUUAUUGGUUUGGAAGUUAGUGAACAAUGAGAAAACGCCAGGCGUUUGCAUGUGAAUGCUCUAUGUUCGGACGCCAGGCGUCGUAGGGAGGAACACAAGGCGUCCUGUGCAGAAGCCAAAUGGGUCGGUUUUUUGGGCCUUAGGCCAAUAGGGGUUUUGGGCUAAGUUUGAUUGGGCUUGUAUAUAAAGGGAAAAAUUGUCUUUUGCCCUCAUCAUGAUGAGGAGUGGACUAGACCAUGGGUUUGGAUUAAACUCAAAUUAUUGAUUGGGUUAUUUCUGGUUUUGGUUUAGCGUGAGGAGCAGUGUUUUCUGCAGAUCAACUGUUGUUUCAUUUAUCAUCAGUAGAGGUGAGUCUUCUCCCGGUGCCCGUGAGUCAAAGACACCAAUGGCGGCUUGCUAUAUUAUGUAUGUAGGAUGCUAGCAGUCUUUAUGAUUCUUGCAUGUUUGUAUGAGCCUAUGUGGUAGAAGAGUUGUAUUUUUGAUGAACGACAGGGUCUGGCCGUUAUUAUUGUGUUAUGAUGUUUAUAUAUGACUGAGACUGAUGAUAGUCUCCAGGGUUGUUGAUAACCCACCGGGCAUGCUGUUAGCCCACUAGGACUGUUGAUAGUCCCCAAGUUUGCUGAUAACUCAUAGUUUUUCAUUUGUGUUGUGAUGUGUGUAAUUUUUUGAGGAACUCACUAAGCUUUGUGCUUACGAUUUGUGGUUUACAUAUUUUAGGUUUUUCUUAUAAUAAAGGAGGAGCACGACUUGAUUGCAUCACAUCAAUGGGGGACAUGUGUACCUGAUAACUUUUAAUGAUACUCUAAUAAAUGUUUUAUGAUCUUGCAAUGGUGAUUUCAAUAAAUACAUAAAGCUUUAAUCGAAAAAAUUUGGGUUGAAUUCUGGGACAUUACAAACCCCCUCCCAAUGCUUAAAAUGAUGAAUUUGUUGUGAAUUCUUAGAGAGGAAUGAACAACUUAUUAAUGCAUAUAAAAGCAAAAAGGUGUAGCUAGGAAUGAAUGUGCCUGAUAAGAUUGCCGAAAUCUUUUAUUUUGACAUAAAUGUUGGCAAUAACUCAUAGUUCAUAAUUCCCAGGGUUGCUAAUAACUCAUAGUUGUUUAUUUGUGUUUUGCUAUGUGUAAUAUUUUGAGGAACUCACUAAGCUUUGUGCUUACAAUUUUCGAUUUACAUGUUUUAGGUUUUUCUUAUAUUAAAGGAGGGGUAUGGCUCAAUUGCAUCACAUUAAUGGGGGACUUGUGUAGUUGAUAACUUUUAAUGACACUCUGAUAAAUGUUUUAAGAUCUUGCAAUGGUGAUUUCAAUAAAUACUUAAAGUUUUAAUUGAAAAUUUUUGGUUAAAUUUUGGGACGUUACAAACCCCCUCCCCAAGCUUAAAAUCAUGCAUUGUCCUAAAUGUUAAGAGAGGAAUGAACAUCAUAUUUUAGCAUGAAAAAGAAAAAAGGUGGAGCUAGGAAUGAAUGUACCAGAUAAGAUUGCCAAAAUUUCUGAUUUUGACGUAAAUGUUGGCAAAAAAAUCUGAAUUUCAGCAACUCUGUCGAUCCUCUGAUUUUCCCAAGCUUUCUUGGAACUAUGACCAUCUCUUUAUUGAAAGCAUAAAAAAAACUAAAACUGCUCCUUGGGUUGCCUCACGGAAAGCUACCCAUUUUUAAAGUCGUUGGCUCGACUUUGCUUUACCAGAGUUACCGAUUAAGUAACUGGUGUGGUUGGGACUUUUAUAAAACUCAACUCUUUUCCUUGUCACUCCAGAUCCCCUCAGAUAUGGAAAGUUUGUUGGAUCUCGAACUUGUUCAACAAGUUGGAAAGACUCCAAAUAGCUAUCAGAAAAGUCUUUCAGAUGAUUUUCAGACUUCUUUCUUUUUCUGAUCUUCCUAUUAUUUCCAUAAAUCUUCUCUUUGAAUUCUUCAUAUUCUUUUCUUUUCAAUUUUUUCUCUGAUGAUUCCUUUGCAGAAAUUAGCUUCUCCUUUUCCCAAGCUUAUUUUUGUUCAAAUUCUUAUCAGUAGCUAACUUCUCCUCUUUUUCCCCCAAACUUUAAUUUCCUUUUCCAACUCUUCUGAUAUGUAUGAUAGAUUCCUUUCUACAAAUUUAACUUGCACAUACACAUUAUAAAACUCAUGGCAACCCACAGAUAAAGGAUUGUUGGUACCCAGAUAAUUAAAAAAAAUAUUAUCAGAAGGAAAAUUAUCAUCAUUAAUUUUAAAAUUAACCACUUCCUCAUUAAAUUCCAUUGAUAUCAUGCCAUUAAAAACAUCUAUUUUUGUCUUUACAGUUUUCAUAAAUGGCCUUCCCAAAGUAAAGAAUUUGUAUCUGACACAUCUAAAUUACCCAUGUCCAGAAUACAAAAAUCAGCGGGAAAGUCAAAUUAUCCACUUGGACAAGAACAUCCUCCACCAUACCUUUUGGGUGUACUGUCGAGUGGUCAGCUAACCAAAUAAUUGUCCCGGUCUUUUGUAAAGUUCCCAUUUUUUAUUUUUCAAAAACAGAAAAGGGAGGGACAUUGUCUAAAGUUCCUAAAUCAAGCAUGAUAUUUUGAGAAAUUAAGGUUCUCCAAUUUACAAGGAACUGAGAAAAUCCCCGGAUCCUUGCACUUUAGAGGUAAACCUUUUUAUAAAAUGGAAGAACUAUUUUUGCUAACUUUGAUAGUUUCACUAAAUUUCAUUUUUUUUCUUUGAAACAAAUAAAUCUUUCAGAAACAUUGCAUAUCGAGGGAUGUGUUGGAUAACAUCUAAAAGUGAGUACUAUUUGGCGUCACUGGCUGAUAUCUUCAUCUUCCCUUUUGCGCUUCGUAUUUUUCAGUCUUGAUAGAAAUGGAGGUAUGGGCUUGUAGUCCUUCAUAUUUGGCUUCACUGGCUGUGGUGUUUAUUUUUCUUCAGGCAUUUAAGAUUCUUCUUCAACCAGAACCUAUGCAGACUCUUCAUCUUCUUUUUUUUGUUUCUUUUAUAUCUUGUUCUUCUACCAGAACUUCUCCAUAACUUUUUCCACUUCUCAAUGAAAUAGUACUCACAUUGUGCUUAAGAUUGUUUUUAGUUUGCCCCGGUUACGUCCUUGAGACUCCAGACGACCCACAAAAGUAUCAAGUUGAGACACCUAUUGUUCCAUAUUCUUGAUAAUAGCUCUGGUUUUGUUCUGGAAUGCUUCGGUGCUCGUAUCAAAAUAUUUCACAAUAUCUUCUAAGGCCAUACUGGAAGUAUUGGGUUCCUGAUGCGAGUUCUGAUUUUUAAAUUUUUGACUCUGAUAAUUUUGCUAAUUCGGAUUCUGAAAGUCACGCAAAAAAUUUGGUUAUUAAUAAAUUCGUUCCUGAUGGAAUCCGGGUGGCAUCUGAUAUUGCUGUUUCUACUAAAAAUUAUUUUGAUAGCCUCCGACAGCUUUGACUAGAGUAACAUCCUCGUGUUGUAAGGGGCACAUAUUUGUUGGAUGUUCCAUCUUUAGGAAUAUACCACAUGGUUUCUUUGCAUGUAUUUUUUCCUUUGUCAAGAGCAAAAGAACUUUUUUUUAGUUUAGAUAUUUGAGACUCUAGAUGAGCAUUACUGAAUUCUUUGACACCCCUUCGUUGAUCCGGGUACCACUCGUCUUCAUUUGCGGAAUGUUUAGACUCCAUUUCUAGCUUCUCGGUCAGCUCCCGGAUAUCUAGUGGUGUCAUAUCACCCAAGGAACCAGCACUGGAAUCAUUUAUCAGGUGCCUCUUGAUGGGUUUCAAACCUUCAAAGAAAUAAUUAUAGAGUUGGUAAUCAUUGAUCCAUGUGGUGGGCACCGAACCAGAAGCUUUUUAAAUAUCUCCCAAUAAGUGUGUAAAGAAUGUCUUUUUUCUUGUUUGAUACCAAUGAUUUCUCUUUUGACACUGGAAACUUGCAUUUUUGGAAAUUACGUUUCUAAAAAAAGCUUCGUGAGUUUUGUGUAAGUGUUGAUCGAACUGGAUGGGAUAUCGUACAACCCUUAUCUUCCUGAAUCUUGAACUGAAAAGGAGAAUGCCCUUAACUUUAUCUGAUCUUUAGUGAUAACAUGUGGCUUUAUUCCUGAACAAACCACAUGAACUUCCUUGAGGAAUUUAUGUGGGUCUUCGUUUUCUAGACCUCAGAAUGUGGGAAGAAGAUGUAUCAACCCAGAUUUCAGUUCGAAGUUAUGGGCUUUCGGAAAGGUAAUACAAAGGGUCUUUUGAUUUACUUCUUAAGUGGCCAACUCUCUGAGAUUCUUUUCUGCUUCAUCUACACUAAUAGAUGAUUCCUGAUAUUCGGUUUCUGUAGAGUCUGUGGUUUCAUAUUUAACUAAGGAUGGUGCGGAGUAAGUUAGGGUCUGUUAGAAGGAGAAGAUGGGGGUACUUUCGGAAAAGAAUGAAAGAUAGGGUCCGUUUUGUUCCAAAAGGGAAUACCUUUGUGGUGUGGUGACUUUAGGUGGUAGGGAGGAUGAUGAUGAACAAAAGAAACUAAUUGAUUGUUUUUUCUUUGCUACUUCUAUCUUUAGUUUCCUUGUUGUUCUUUUAAUUUCAAGAACCUAUGGAGGUAUGUCUCCCCGACUGACCGCCUAUGCGAUAUAUCCCCAUGUCAUUCGCUCAUCGAAUAACAGACUCGAUAAAACAUUUCCAACUCUGAUUACUUGUCGCUCCUGAUGGAACAAGUCGUUAACCAUAAUUAGCUGCUGAACACUCAUGCCGGACACACCAGUCGACUCCGAACGAAACCCAAAGAAACGGGGGUCAUCUCGCACAAACGACCAACCUCUGAAAAUGCUAUCAGAACCUAUCUAAAGAGUGAAGCUCAAUACUCGGUCCUCAAAACUAAAUGAAGACCUUCCAGUCCACAUGGGAAUCGAAACUCUACUCUAGGUCCGACCUCUGUUCAAACAGAAUCAUUUCACUUCCGACCUCAAGAUUAUUCAGCUCCGACCCCAAAAUCAACGUCCAUGCCUGACCGAACUAUACACUGAUAGCCGGAAACAUAACUCCAGCUGCCUCUCAAUGCUAGACACCAAAUACGAAUACAAGAUCAACUCCCAACGCAACAGUUGAAUCUCCGAGGCUACCCUAUCCCAUUUGGCAAUAGGACUUCACAGUAGUCCUAUCCAACUGAGCUGACUCAUCUAAUCACACUAAACUCCACAAUCACAAAGUUCGCUUUACCCUAAGUGAUUUCCACAACCGAUUUGAGGUGGCACCCCACACACGACCUCAGUUUCCUACCACUCAUUACUUCAUGUGUAUCGUGGUCCUCCUCAAACCAAUGAACAUGUUCACCCAAGUCUAAAACAUCGAAUGGGAAAAACAACCCUCUUAGAAUGAAAUCCACCUGAAAUCCCAACCUGCUCGUCCUCCUCACAGAUAGAGCCAAACUCGCCCACCAGAGUCUCGCCCGACAUAAAGUUAGAACUACUCGUCCCAACCUAUUACUCAACUCAUGACCCAUGUUCCAUGAAUAUACACAUGCGUUACACCUCGAUCCUUCCGAUUUGCAACAACCCCUCUCUAACUCAAAACCUAACGGUUUCUGACCAUUGCUGAGAACCCAGUCUCACCCCUGGUUUGGCCACUAGGUUCCCAUGGACUCAUUUUUCAAGGCUACACAUGCCUAAGAGCCCCUCUGCAUCACACCCUAACAAGCAAGGUUGCGGCUCCCCACAGUUAUACACCACUCUCUCUCACUGACUAACAAAUUCUACGGCUCUCCGUAAGCCUAUGACACUCUCUCAUUUCCUCGCGAAUGCUACGACUCCUCGUAGUCUUAUGAUACUCUCUCUAACUCACAUAUGUUACGACACUCCGCAAUCACACAAUACUCUCUCUCUGACUCACGUAUGUUACGGAUCCCUGCAGUCACACGAUACUCUCUCUCUGACUCAGGUAUGCUACGGAUCCGCUUAGUAUUACACCUUCCCUUACUCUACAUGGGCUCUCUCCAUGGUCUCCCUGACUUUCCUCAAUGAUUACUCCCACCCAAACCCAUUCACUAUCGAACCACCCCAUAAUCUCAUCCUCAGGUCGUCACCACACUGAAUUCACUAUCAAAUACUCCAUGGUCUAACAUAGUUAGGUGCUCACACCUAUCCAGAUUAUGCAUCACUACUCUUGACUUAUGUUCUUGAAGACAUGGCACUUCCCUCAAUAUAGUCACACUCUCGAACAAUUCCCGCCUGGUGACCAUUAGCUGAUGAUGAUCUAACAUCUGAAAAUAUAGUCGCUUUGAUGGUCCACCUACCGUCGGAUACACCAAAGUCUCAUAAUAAUCCAACAACCUAGGGCACCGUACUCGAAUAUCUUGAUACACCCUUACGUAAUCUCACAAUUUCUUGCCACGACCACUUGUACACAACUCAAGACCUUGAAGUAUUCUAACUCACAACUGGAAGCAAAGAGGAAUCGCCACGAUUAACAUGUUAACAACAAUCCAGAGCCCCAUCUGCUACUGAUCAAGCCCAUGCGAACUACAUAUAUCGACCCUGUAGUUGAUCGUCAAUCAACUGCUUCCACUCUUGGAGUGCAUAUAACAAUUCAUACAUCGAACUAUUAGUCUCUCCGAAAUCAAAUCUUGAACUUGGCAACCUAACCAUCUCAAAACUCAUACAUUGGUACACCUGAAGAAUUACAAACCAUAACCAGAUUCCUGCCUACCGGCCACCUGUCGUGCAGUCACUAAUUUUCUGCUGAGAAUAUGCAACAUGCAUCAUCUCGCAGAAUCUCUGUUGAGAGGAAAAUUUGGGUAACAAACUUGAACAAACGUUAGAACUGUUGGAUUAAUGUCUAAGUCCAUAACUAUAAUUCGUAUGUACUUGACCCGACUCGGCAUGGUCCAUUUGGGUUGCAGUGCAUCAGAACAUUUGGAUACACCAUUUGUGAGAAGAGGACAUUUGUGACAUUUUAAUAUAUUAUAAGUUCUAAUAUAUUAAUAUGAAAUCAUGUUAUUUAAUUAUUAUUGAUCAAGAAUAAAUUUAGACUUGAUUUAGUGAUCAAAAGAGACUAGUUAAAUAUAUGGGGACUGAUUUUGUAAAUCAUUCAUUCUUAUAUAUAUGGGCUUAUGAUCCAUGAUUUCUUGUGUUGGGUUUAACCCAUUUGGUGACCCAUGGAUACUCCAUGGAGGUUAAAACCCAUGGAGCAUAAGGAAUGGGUAAAGUCAUGGGUUACAUGGUGUAACCCUAAUGUGCACACUAUAUAAGGACCCCUUUGGUUCAAGAAAUUGGCACUAGUGAUAUAUGUAUGAGGGCUAGCCGAUUUGAGCAUGAGUGUCUUCUUCUCAUGGUUAUUCCAUAUGUUGGUGAUGUUGUGUGAACCAUUUUAGGUGUCACACUUUGGUUACUAGGCUCUCGAUCUUCAUGGAAUUAAGCUACAUCAACAAGGUAUGUAUUUCUAUCUAGUUUAUUAUUCAAGUAUCAAAAGGUUGUAUGCUAGUUAGGGUAACACCUUGGAAUAUUCAUAUUUAUUUGUAUAAUAGAGAAAACAUAGAUCCAAGGUAUUUAGGGUUGCAUGUACACUUAGCAGUGUUAGAAUGCUUGUAACCAACUGUGGUAUCAGAGCCUAGGGCUUGUUUUCUUGUUAUACUUGCAAAAUAUGCUUAAAAAUCGAAGUUUUUUGUUGUCUGGGCAAUGGACUCGGCGAGUCCAUCAGGUGAAUCGACGAGUCCAUGCCUUAAAAUUCUUCAAAACGAUCCAACUCGUCGAGUUGGUUCAUGCACUCGACGAGUUGGACCCCCAAACAGCAUAUCUUUGACUGUUUUGGUUGGAAAUGGACUAGGAACAUUACCCUAAGCUGUUUUUGAACUUAUAAACCUAUUUUUGAUGUGGUAAUGUUCAUGCUAAUCCAAUUUCAAAGAUAAUUGUCCUUAGAUUCAUGUUUUGUAUUAGUUUAAGGUUUAGGCUAAUUACAUGAAAAAGUUUGAUUUGAAUUAUCUUGUUCUUAUGAGUUGCUUAGAUUAAUAGGAAGGUUAUGUGAAAUUGUUGUUUUCAAUUCAAAUUAAUCUAUGAGUUGGUUCUAAAAUGUGUUUUUGUAACUUUUCCUCAAGUUAUAUGAAAUUUCACAUUGAAGAUCCAUAAAACUCAUAAAGAUUUCCAUAAGUUAUGAAUAAGGAAGAGUCACAUUAUUUUAUUAGUUUAUAGUCUUCCAUAACUUGUCCUCAAGUUAUGGAACUUGAAGAGUUAUUGGAUUAAAACUACUUUAAACACAUAAGUUAUGGAAUUUAAUAGUUUUGAAUAUUUUCAAAACUUGCCCUCAAGUUUUGGAAUUUGAAAAGUUUUCCCUUAGGAAAUACUUUAAUUCCAAGUUAAGCCCUUAGAAUUUUAAAAGUUAAAUUCAACCCUUAUAAUUUAUAAUAUUGUAAGUUAAUAAUAUAUAUAUAUAUAUAUAUAUANUAAUAAUAUUUAUAUAUAUGUAUAAGAGUAAAGUCAGUCUUACCAUUAGUAGGCCUCAUUCACGAAGCCGGUCUAUAAGGGGGUAUAAGGUUACUGCCUAUAAGAUGGCAGUUUAAUAGGUGUCCACUCUCACCCACCGCUUCCUUGACUGGUGGAUGGUCGUUAGCCGAAUGGGUAGGACAAGGAAUAUAAUUCUCCCUACAUUAAAAGUAUUAAUGAUAAAUAUAAAGUAACUAAAAGUUUUUUAUAAUUCCCAAUCUUAGUUACUUUUGGAAAAUGUGGAUAAGGUGCUAAUCCAAGAAAUUACACUUUGCACUUUGCUUAAGUAGGUUAGUGGAGUGUGUGUGGUUAACCGGCACACUAGCUUGAUUUAACAAGGUAGGCAAAGGGUAACAUAAUAUUUAUAAUAGUAUUGGUGGAGCGUGUGUGGUUAACUGGAAAAUUGAUUAAGGGAUAAAUAUUAAGGGUACCAAGUGAUUUUCAUGGUUACUUCACACCUUGUUUUGUGAUCCUCAGCAUCCUAGUCACAAAAACUGAAGGGCACACUCGAGAUUGAGAAAUGCCAUUGAAUUGUUCAAUGAAUCUCAAAAGAUCUAGGAGUUUCAAAUCCAAGUAAAACCUAAUUAAAUUAUUUCAUUUUCAUGGUGGAAAUUGGUGAAUGGUCAUUUGCCUACCUUCAAAUAUAUUAUAGCUUGGAUUACGGCAUCCCUCUUCCAAGUUAUAAAAGUAUUGUGUUGGGUCCUAGCCUUAAUAUUUCAUAUUGGGUGUUAUAUUAAGGACUUUAAAUCAACUAUCUUGAAUAUCUCCCAAAAGAUGUCUAGUUCAGACAUCUAUGAUCUUCCCAAAUCUCAUUGAACUUCACUUCCUCCACCUCCUCCAAUUAUCCUGCCUUACCCACAAGUUGAAGGUCACUCUAUCCCUGUUCGCAAUCAAGGUCUAAGUGUGAUAGCAACUUGGAGAUGAGGUCACAUAUUGACAUGCCAGGAGAGUUGGGUGUCAAAGUCUUAAGAAAGUCAGAUGUUCAAUCACUUUCUAAGUCACGUACUGAGUUCCUUUGGGACGACUAUGAAACAGACUAUAACAUGACCUUAAUGAUCUUAUCCAUUUGCUUGGUGCUACUGAAUCAGAAAUGAUUUGAUGACUAUUAAAGAAAAUUUGAUUAAGAAGAUCAACUUCCUAAACUACCAUGGACAUUGACAAUAGAGACAUUGGAUAUCUAGAAAAGCCUUCUCCUACCAAGGAAAUGGAUUGACCACAGUCAACUCGGUUGACCUAAUGGUAAAGAGAAAGGCUAAGUCUGAGAUUAUCCCAUGUACCAUUCCCAAAGGGUCCAUAUAGUUCUAUUGCCAAAAGGAAAGGCCAUUGGUUGCGAAGCUGCCAAAUUUAAUAAGGCUUGUAAAGUCAAUAAGUUUGACUCUACUUUAGGCAAUGUCCACUAUCUAACUUGGUUAUGUUUCUAUUAUGAUAUUAUUAUUACAUGAUUGUAUACUAGUUAGGGUAAUACCAUGGAAUAUUCAUAUUCGUUUGUAUAAUAGAGAAAACAUAGAUCCAAGGUAUUUACGGUUGCAUGUACACUUAGGAGUGUUAGAAUGCUCAUAACCCAACAAGAACAAGUAACAAUGCGUAAUUAAAUUUAACUCAGUGGAUCAUAAAGCUCAACAAUAAUAAGUUAGAAUUAGAUAGUUAGAUAGUUAGGUGCAUAAAUAUAAGGAAAUGUAAAUGACAACAAGUUUUAUAUCAAGAAGACACUUAAGCUGAUUCUUAACAAGGAUUUCAAUCAAACCAUGUUAGUAAGUGAGAUCAGACUUGGCGAUUAAGUCAAGAAUGACUUGCUUCGAAGAGAUAUUAUAAUCUUCAUAUAUUAGUUUUAGUUUAUGAGAAUCCUUGAAGAUGAGAAAGUAAGAGAGAAUAUGCUAUUCAAGAUAGAUAUAUUCUUCAGAAAUAGAGAGGUCUAUUUAUAGAGUCUCAAAGAUUACAAAGUUAAAUAUGUGUAAGGUGGCCAUGUAAGGAACACUCGAUAAAGAAAUGUAAAGACAUAAGAUAACAUAUAAACUAAAACUAAGAUAAAAGAAUGAUGACAUCGACUGCGGAUGUGGUUCUUUAUUGCGGUUGUGAUCUUGACUGCGGAUGAGGAGAUGGCUUCAGAUUUGUUAAGUUUAAGAGGGUCACUUUUAUGCUUCAACAAUUUCCCCCUAAGUGACCUCUUCAACUUUGCUUUCACUCUUCGAGCUUCAAGAAUUUGAUGAGAAUCCACCAGAACUUCCUGACUUCUCUGAUCUAAAGAAUUCUCCCAGAGAUUUCAAAUUGAACUUCAGCAGUGGUGUGUUUUGACUUGUUGACUGCAGUUUGAGUAAUCUCUAGUUGCUUUUGAGUCAAACGGUUCAUGGUAGUGAUUGGGAUUAAAUAUUUUUUUCCAUCAUUUUUGCGUUUGAAAAUGACUCCAAGAUCCGGGAAGUUAGUUGCUCCAAGUGAUCUCUCUUGAAAGCCUUCGGUGAAAACCAGAGCUGGUUUAAGAGGAGGGAGGUUGAACUUCUGAGCAAGAACGGGGUGGAUUUUCGCAUCAAUGUUGGCAAAGUUAGAAACUGUUCCUUUUAGAAACAUACAGACCCUUUCGUACGCAAUCUUCAUUUUAGGAUUCUUCUCACACUUGUUCUGAAAUACCUUAGCAAUCAGGAAAUUUCUUCCGGGUUCAUGUAAUGGAGGUUAGCUUGGGUGCAGACAUAGUCUGAAUUUCUUCUCGUGAGAGUGUACUGAAUAAAAUCUUCUUUCAUGAAUUUCUUGGGCUUGAACUUUUUGACUGUGGUAGGCUUGUCAUUUGACCAAAUAUUUUCAAUUGUAGAUCCAUGCUUAGCAUGGAAUUUGUUAAGUCUUUCAAAUUCUAGAGGCAACCUCUGAUCAUCGGCGAGAUUACGGUCAAAUGAUUCAAAGACGGUGAAGAAUUGAGCUUUGGGAGAGAUGGGGAUAUCCCAAUAACCGUUAAAUGGGGGUUUCACGUAUGUGAGAUAGGGUUGGUAGUCAUCAUCAAGUAAUCUUCUGGUGGUAUUAAUCUAGGAGUUGAUGAGGGAUUCAUCCAUAGUGAUGUCAAAUCCGUGAUCCAUCCAUAUCAAUUCUCAAAACAUAGUUUCUUUCCAGUCAACUUUCCUUUGCUUGGUUUUGGGAGAGUCGUAGGAGUUUUCGGAUGACAUUUCUAGGGCUAGAUUUAUGAGGUGAGGGGGAGUUGCCGGAUACAUGGAAGAGGUAUGUUGAACAUCUUGGACUUUUUCUUGUUGCGGUGGAGACUGAUGAGGGGAGUAAAUUUGACUGUGUUGAGGAGAAGGCACAUGAGUCUUCUUUUUUGGAGAUGGUUGGGGGGAAAGUUGUGGAGAAGGCACAUUUUACUGAAUGAUUGGCUGCUGAUGAAUGAGACCAAAUUGGAUAGGAGUUUGGAAGUGUUGAUGUUGUUGUGAAUGUUGAUGGGAGAUGCGAUCCGAAUCACGGUCUUCACUUCCCCCUCUUGAGGAAGGAACACCUGGUGCUUCCUCAAGCCAUUGUUUAAGACCAUCUAUUUUUACACAGACGUCAUUAAAUUGGGCCUUAAGUGCAUCAACAAGCUGUUAAUUGUUGGGGAUUGCGGGUUUGAAGAGCAGUUUGUGGAUCUCCUUGGGAAGUUAUAAAAUCUCCUGGCCAUGAAAAUUUAAAGAGAAGGAGCGAAAAAGGAUGUUGAUGGUAGAUUGCAAUACGCAGAUGGUGGAUUCAUAAGCAUUGUGAGUUUCCUCGACAAGCUUCUUUGACUGAGUAGAUUGAUCCGCAAUGGUGGAUAGGAUUUCAGUCUUGAUUGUGGAUACUGCAGUGAUUAGUCGCUCCACAGCGGAAAGGAAUUAUUGGUGAUCAGCUUUGCGGUUUUUGUCGAGGGCUCGAAUACCCAUUUCGACCUUGAGAGAGAUCCACUCAGUAGCGAGUCACUCUCUUGCUUCAAGACGAUGAAUUCUUUCAAUGAGAGAUUACAGACUGGGUGCAUCUUCUGGUUGCGGCAUCUUCUGGUUGCGGUUGGCUAGACUUCACUGCAGCCAGAACCUGAUCAACCUUGUCUUGGAGACAUAGUUUUGGAUAUGGUAUCUAAGUCCAUAACUAUUUCUUGUAUCUACUUGACCCAGGUGGCAUGGUCCAUUUGGGUUGCAUGGCAUUAUGAUAAUUGGAUAGACAAAAUGAGAAGAAGGACACUUAUGAUUUGUUAAUAUAUUAUAAGUAAUAAUAUAUUAAUAUGAAAUCAUAUUAUUUAAUUAGUAAUGAUCAUGAAUUAAUUUGGAAUUAAUUUGUAAAUCGUCCAUUCUUAUAUAGUGGGCUAAUGAUCCAUGGUUUAUUGAAUUAGGUUAAAACCAAUAGGUUGCUCCAUGGAUGCUCCAUGGAGGUAAAACCCAUGGAUCAUGGAGGAACUGAAAAGCCAUGUCAAUUAGGGUUUACAUGGUGUAACCGUACUUGUGACACACAAUAUAAAGACCCCAUAGGCUAGCAAAAUCAGCACUUAGAAAAGAACAAGGAGGGCUAUCCGAUUUUGAGUGAUAAUAUGCUUCUCUCAAGUUAUUACAAGCGUUGUGGUGUUGUGUGAAACAUUUGAGGCAUCACAUUUGGGGUGCUAGGCUCACAAAGUUCUCAAGGAAUUCAAGCAACAACAAAGGUUUGUUAUUCUACUAGCUUUUAUGUUCAACUUCCCGAUGCCAUGCUAGUUAAGAUAAGAACCUUGAAAAAAAUCAAAUUUGCAUGUAUCUUAGUAAAACAUAGAUCCAAGGUUUCUAGGGUUGCAUGUACACCAUAGGAGUGUUAGAAUGCUCAAAACCCUUCAGUGGUAUCAAAGCCUAGGCUUGUUUUCUUGAUACUUGAUGAAAAUUGUAAAAGACAAUUAAAAAUUCUGUUUUCUGCUGAGUGAACUCGCCGAGUCCAUGGGGGACUCGACGAGUCGAUGUGUAUCUUCACCCUACUCAUCGAGUAGGUUCGUGCACUCGACGUGUAGGAGGCCCAGAGUGCAGUUUUUCAAGUUUUUAAGCAGUUUAUCUCAUGACUAUAAUUUGGUUAUACAUUGAUUGUACGAAAACGCAUUGGUAACUCGAUGUUACGAAAUGUGCUUUUGUGUAUGAUUCAACUUGUUAGUAAAAGUAUAUGAGUCAAAUUUUAUCUGCUCCUGCUAGUCCUUGGAGGAUUAGAAGCGAUAUCUGGGGCCCUCGAUGAUUUUGUUUUGACCUAUGUACCGGGUCCGGUCAGAACCAAACUUGAUGUGUUGAGUUUAUUUCUACGUCAAACAAACCAGAAAUGGGAAAACAAAUUGUUGGACAAUAAGUACGACAUUGUUCCAUCUAUUUGUCCGGCUUAUAUCUUGAGAGCAGAGGAUUAUAUGAUCACUUAUCUUAAAUGGCAGGUCAUCUUAGUUGUACGAGACUUUGAAAGAGCUACGAUUGCUGAUCAGUUCCUGAAGUCAUACUUGCAGUUUUAGUUAUUAGACUUAUCCAAGUGGGGGACUGUUGGAUAAGGUGUCUAAGUCCAUAACUAUUUUUGGUAUGUACUUGACCCGGUUGGCAUGGUCCAUUUGGGUUGCAUGUUAUCAUGAUAAUUGGAUAGAAAAAAUUAGAAGACAGACACUUAUGAUUUCUUAAUAUAUUAUAAGUUAUAAAAUAUUAAUAUGAAAUCAUAUUAUUUAAUUACUAUUGAUCAAUAAUUAAUUUGGAAUUAAUUUUGUGAUAAAAAAGAGAGUAAUUAAAUAUACAAGGAUUGAUUGUGUAAAUCGUCCAUUCUUAUAUAGUGGGCUAACGAUCCACGGUUUAUUGAAUUGGGUUAAAACCCAUAGGGUGCUCCAUGGAUGCUCCAUGGAUGUUAAAACCCACGGAUCAAGGAGGAAAUGAAAAGGCAUGUCAAAUAUGGUUAACAUGGUGUAACCCUACUUGUGACACACUAUAUAAAGACCCCAUAGGCUAGCAAAAUCGGCACUUAGAAAAGAACAAGUAGGGAUAGCCGAUUUUGAGUGAUAGUGUGCUUCUCUCCAUGUGAAUUUGUCAAAACCAUCAUCACAAGACAAGAUAAAUGACUAAUCCAAACUCAUAUGGAUUGAACUUGUGUAGUCUUAACUUCUUGCCACCUGGCAGCACAAGGACCUGCCAUUGCUUCCAAGUUUUUAUGCAACCAAUUGAGAACCAUCAUAACUCAUAUGCAAAGCCAACUUUCACUAGAAUGGGCACAUAAAUAGGAAAAAUGUCAACACGAUAGGUUAUAAACCUCAAGUCGUGAGCUAGUGAGAAACUAUAGGUUUUAUUCUUUAUUAGUUCUUGAAAUUCUUUCAGGAUCAUUUAGACUCCCACUGCCCUCUUGACAUAUAAGACUCUCUUGCCAAAUAUUCAAGAAAUAGUGCGAAUUCUUUAUCAAGACAAACACUUCACACAAUUGGCCUUAAUUGGUCUUUGUUUUAUCCAAAACAUCACAACUUACCAAUUUCAAAUGUACAAGAGUAGGACACUUUUACUCCUACAUUUGAUAAGUGUUAUAAACCUUUCUUUAAGAUAUAUCACUCAACUUACAGUCUUGGUGUAUGACUCUAACUCAUCUUCUUGAUUUAAUCAUUCCGACAAUUCUUGAUUCCUCUUCUUAGCCGUAGGAAUGCACUAAGAUGUCCUUAGAGGACCAAUUGUGAUAUGGUUUAUUCACCAUUGAGAUAAUCACAAAAACAUGAUACAAAGGUACUCUCCCAUCUUUUCAGAUUUGAGAAAAUUUUAUCCUUUGAUUCUUCUCAUUCGUUCUGCCAUACAUUGAAACUUUUCCAAUGUUCUAGAAUUAUACUUAAACUGGUAAGUAUAACCAUAUUUACUAAACUUUAGUAAAUCAUGACGAAUAGUCUUAUCGAUCUUCUGUAGUAGACUUGACCAGUGCACAAGAAUAUGUACUCGAUCCCUUAGUCCUUCACUUGACUCAUAUAUAAAUGUGAACAAGGAAUUAGUCUUAAUUUUGCAAAGGUGAAAAUUCUCAUUCGUCAUACUAUGCAACUUGCAUGAUUUCCAUGUUUUUAUCCAAUUGAAACCUUGGGUGAUGAGAAUAUUUCCUUAUUUGGUAAAUUUAGACACUACCACAAAUGAAAGAAUCAAAUUCAUAUUUCCAUUAUUGCUAGAAAAAUACAAACAUCAAUUCUCCAAAAGUACCAUUGCAAGGACAUAUAAAAUAAAACAAAAUUUUAUUUAUUUAUCGAAUGCGGAAAAACAUUCCUUACAAUGCAACUUUAAAUGGAAACUAUGCUAUUACAUAUUUCCUAGCAAUCUGUCAUAACUCUCUAAGCAGUAGCUCAAGAAUCCGAUCUUCAAACCAUGCGAUUGAAAUCCAUCUUCGCAAUCAGAUUCAACAUACUCUUUCUCUAAGUUCCCUUCCCUUUGCUUGAUCAUGCCAUACAUUAAAAAUGUAUUAAAAAUUUUCAAAUAGGAACUUAAGAGAGUUAGAAAGUGGACUUACCUGAAGCAUAGUCUUGCUUUUUUAUUAGACUUUCUCUCAGAUCUUUUAGGUAGUUAAGGUAGCUUCGCAACCAAUGCCCCUUCCUUUGGUAACAGAAACAUAUGGGCCCUUUGGGAAUGGUGCACUGGACUAUCUCAGACUUUCCUUUCUCUUUACCAAUUGGUCAACCGAGUUGACUAUCGCCAACCCCUUUCCAUUGGGAAGAGAAAGCUUUUCUGGAUAUCCAAUGUUACCAUUGUCAAAGUCCAUCGAAGUUUGGGAAGUUGAUCUUCUAACCAAAUUUGCUCUACUAGUGCUCCAAGUCAUUGCUGAUUCAGUAGCACAAAGCAAAUAGAUAAGAUCAUUAAGGAUCAUGUCAUAGUCUUUUACAUUGUAGUCCAUAAAGAACACACUAUGUGACUUAGGAAGUAAUUAGUCAACAUCCAACUUCCUCAAGAUUUUGACACCUAACUCUCAUGGCUUGUCAAUAUGUGACUUCAUCUCCAAGAUGUGAGCACACAUAGACCUUGCCUGCCAAUAGGGCUUGAGUGAACUUGAACUUGUGGGUUAGGGAUGAAACAUAGAGUAGGUAGAGGAAGAGAAGAAUGAUUUCCGGGACAUCAUCUUCAUUAGGAAACCUUGUUCCUAGAGUUUUGGGAAGAUCAUAGAUGUCUGAACCAGACAUCUUUUGGGAGAUAUUCCAGAUAGUUUAUUUAAAGUCUUUAAUAUAACACCGAAAUAUGAAAUAUUAAGGCUAGGACCCAACACAAUAUUUUAUAACUUGGAAGAUGGAUGCCAUAAUCCAAACUACAGAAUAUUUGAAGGUAGGCGAAUGACGAUUCACCAAUUUCCACCAUGAAAAACGAAAUAAUUUAGUAGGUUUUAUUUGGAUUUGAAACUCCUAGAUCUUUUGAGAUUCAUUGAAAUUUCCAAUGGCAUGUUUCAAUCUCGAUUGUGCUCUCUCAAGUUUUGUGACUUGGAUGUUGAGGAUCACAAAACAAGGUGUGAAUAACCAUGCAAAUAUACUUGGUACCCAUAAUAUUUACCCAUCAAUCGAUGCGUCGGUUAACCACAUGCUCUCCGUCGAUACUAUGAUAAACAUUAAGUUACCCUUUUCCUAUCAAGUUAGUGUGCUGCUUAACCACACAUGUUCCACUAACCGUCUUAAGCAAAGAGCAAACUGUAAACUCAUGGGUUAGCACUAAAUUCACAUUUUCCUAAAGUAACUAAGAUUGUGAGUUUAUAAAAGGUUUAGUUACUAUAUAUUUAUCAUUAAUACUUUUAAUGAAGGGAGAAUUCUAGUCCUUGUCCUACCCAUUCGGGUAGCAACCCUCCAACAGUCAAGGAAAAGGUGAGUGAGAGUGGACACCUAUUAAACUGCCAUUUUAUAGNUAUAUAUAUAUUAACUUAUACUACUAUAAAGUAUAAGGGUUGAAUUUUAAAAUUUAAAAUUCUAAGGGCUUAACAAGGAAUUAGAGUAUGAAUGAGGGAAACUUUACAAAUUCCAUAACUUGAGGGCAAAUUUUGAAUUCUUCAAAAUUUUUCAAUUCCAUAACUUAUGUGUUUAAAGUAGUUUUAAUGAAAAAACUCUUCAAGUUCGAUAACUUGAGGACAAGUUAUGGAAGACUUUAAAACAUCUAAGAAUGAGACUCUCCAUUUUUCAUUACUUAUGGAAAUCUUAUGAGUUUUAAUAAUCAUAAAUGUGACUUUUCAUAUAACUUGAGGACAAGUUACGUGAAAACAUAUAUUGAACAACUUUUAUAUUAAUUUGGAUUGAAAACAUAUUAUCGCAUAACUUUUCUACUAAUCUAAAUCAACUCAUAAGAACAAGAUAAUUCAAAUCAAACAAUUUUCAUGUAAUUAGCCUAAUCAUUAAACUAAUACAAAACAUGAAUCUAUUGACAAUUAUCUUUGAAAUUGGAUUAGCAUGAACAUUACCACAUCAAAAACAGGUUUACAAGUUCAAAAACAACUUAGGGUGAUGUUCCUAGUCCAAUUCCAGCCAAAAAUUUCGAAGUGUCACGCCUCAAAUGGUUCACACAACAUCACUAACAUCUUGGAAUAACUUUAGAGAAAAGGUUCCUAUGCUCAAAUUGGCUAGCCCUCAUGUGUACACACACUAGUGCCAUCUAUUUGUCCGACAUUGUUUCAUCUACUUGUCCGACUAAUAACUUGAGAGGAGAGGAUUAUACGAUCACUUAUCUUAAAUGGAAGGUCAUCUUAGUUCCACGAGACUUUGAAAGAGCUACAAAUGUUGAAUGGUUCCUGAAGUCAUACUUGCAGUUAUAGUUAUUAGACUUAUUCGAGUGGGUGACUGUUGGAUAAGGUGUCUAAGUUCGUAACUAUUUCUGGUAUGUACUUGACCCGGUUGGCAUGGUCAAUUUGGGUUGCAUGGCAUCAUGAUAAUUGGAUAGAAAAAAUGAGAAUAAUGACACUUAUGUUUUGUUAAUACAUUAGAAGUUAUCAAAUAUUAGUAUGAAAUCAUAUUAUUUAAUUAGUAUUGAUCAAGAAUUAAUUUGGAAUUAAUUUUCUGAUCAAAAAGAGACUAAUUAAAUAUACGGGGAUUGAUUGUGUAAAUCAUCCAUUCUUAUAUAGCGGGCUAAUGAUCCAUGGUUUAUUGAAUUGGGUUAAAACCCAUAGGGUGCUCCAUGGAUGCUCCAUUGAGGUUAAAACCCACGGAUCAUGGAGGAUAUUAAAAUCCAAGUCAAUUAGUGUUUACAUGGUGUAACCCUACUUGUGACACACUAUAUAAAGACCCCAUAGGCUAGCAAAAUCAGCACUUGGAAAAGAACAAGGAGGGAUAGCCGAUUUUUAGUGAUAGUGUGCUUCUCUCAUGUUAUUCCAAGAGUUGUGGUGUUCAAUGAAACAUUUGAGGCAUCACAUUUAGGGUGCUAGGAUGACAACGUUCUUAAGGAAUUCAAGCAACAACAAAGGUAUGUUAUUCUACUAGCUUUUAUGUUCAAGUUCCCCAUGCCAUGCUUGUUAGGAUAAGAACCUUGGAAAAAUCAAAUUUGCAUGUAUCUUUGUAAAACAUGAAGGGUUUUGAGCAUUCUAACACUCCUAAGGUGUACAUGCAACCCUAAAUACCUUGGGUCUAUGUUUUCUCUAUUAUACAUGUAAAUAUCAAUUUUUCCAAGGUACAGUUCUAACUAGCAUAAUAUGAAGAACAUAUAAUAUAAAUUCUAGUAGAAUUACAUACCUCUUUAUUGUAGCUUGAUUCCAUGGAGCUUAAGGGCCUAGUGCCUCAAGUGUGACUCCUCAAAUGGUUCACAUAACAUCACCAACAUCUUGGAAUAACUUGAGAGAAAAGGUUCCUAUGCUUAAAUUGGCUAGCACUCACGUGUAUACACACUAGUGCCAAUUUCUUGAGCCAUGGGGUCCUUAUAUAUAGUGACUAUCAGGGUUACACCAUGUAACUCAUGUCUUUCCAUAUUCUUCAAGCUCCAUGGGUUAUAAACCUCCAUGGAGUAGCCAUGGGUUUAGCCCAACAUGAAGAACUAUGGAUCAUAAGCCCACAUAUAUAAGAAUGAAUGAUUUAGACAAUCAAUCCCCAUAUGUUUAAUUAGUCUUCGUUUUAUCACAAUAUUAAUUCCAAAUUAAUUAUUGAUCGAUACUAAUUAAAUAAUGUGAUUUCAUAUUCAUAUAUUAGAACUUAUAAUAUAUUAACAAAUCAUAAUUAUCCUUUUCUCACAAAAGUCUAUCCAAAUUGUUCCGAUGCCAUGCAACCUAAAUGGACCAUGCCAAUCGGGUCAAAUACAUACAAAUUAUAGUUAUGGACUUAGACACUAAUUCAACAAAACAUAGAUCCAAGGUUUCUAGGGUUGCAUGUACACCAUAGGAGUGUUAGAAUGCUCAAAACCCUUCACUUAGAAACUCCUUUCUAGAGACUGCUGAUUUCUGUUACUUUUUCUUUUCUUUGGGCUUUGAAGUAGAGUGUUGGGAUCCACCUUAUUCAUCUUCUUCGUCGAUGGUCAUCAUCAUGUCGUCUGAUGGCUCGGGUUUAUUGACUUCAUUCAUUUCAAUGUCAUCAAAUCUAUAAGUAGGUCCAGAAAUGACUUCGAUUGCGGUUCCCUUCUCUUGUGAUUCUUGGACUAUUUUUGUUAGAGGAAGCUUGGAAGAACAUGCACCAUCUGGAAGGGACUGACCGCUGCGUAUGGUCUUAACUAUUGCGGUUAUCGAAUCUUGGAUUUUGAGAAUGUUGGCUAACGUGUUGGCAUUAUUGAUUACGUCUGCCCAGUACUAAGCAACAACUUGUAUUUCUUUCUCCUUUUGUUGAAGCUAUUUAGUUUGCCGAUCCUUCCUUGCUUGAAAUGCCCUGCGAAAAGCUGCAUACUUUUUGACUUUGGAUUCAGUAGAUGGGUUAUACUGAAUCAAAGAGUCAUCAGAGUCAUAUUCAUCAAUUCCUUGAUGUCGCACCGAGGUGUCCCUCUGGUUCACGGAUCCUUGCACAUUGGUGGUCACCGUGCCUAAACCACCUGUUUGUAAGGUAAGCGGAGUAAGAUUUCCUGAGCUUCCUCGGUUUCCUUGAGCCGUAGUAAAUUUUGGCCAUGACUCAGUUCUGGCAUGGGCUGAAGAAUUGCCCUGCUCUUGGGAAGAUGUAUCAAGUGAUGUGAUUACUAAGUCUAGUAUGGGGCGCAACUCCUGUUCUUGAAUGAAAUGAAGUUCGGAAGCCCUAGAGGCCUUCGGGCGAGAACCAAUUAAAUCCUCUUGGGAUUUAGUUGGAGGUGAGUCUUCACAAAUAGGUGAAACAGGCACACUUGUUGUGCCCAAGUGGCUAGAGAGGGUAGUUGCAAAUGGGCCUGCGGGGACCCCAAGGACUACCAGAGCCUUUUGAGAGGCUAAGGUAUCGGUCUAGUGGUGCAUUUGGCUAGGACUAGGGUUUCAUCUUCAUUUCUUGAGAACAAGAAUUAAGAUUGUGUCAUCAUCAGACUCAUCUUCAACAUCGACUGCAACGGUUUGAUCUGGAUCAGAAUCUUCAUCAUAGGAUAGAACAUGUGUAUUUUUGCAUUUCUUGGAGGGUUCUGCGGUCUUGGAUGUUGCACAUUUCUUAGAUUUCUUAAGGGAGGUUUUUCUGGAAGAAAGAUUCCUGAGCCUCGAUGAUUGAGUGGUAGUAGUUGGGGUUGCGGUGCUUACUGGGCCAUGAGGGUUUGUCGAGGCUAAUAUAGACUGACUAGGUAGAGGCGGGGUAGAAAGGUAUGGGUCAAUACCUUCUGUAGCCUUAAUGUGAUUGGUGACUUCUUGAGUCUCAAGUCGAACAGUGGUCAGAAUGUGUACAGGAAGCGUCUUGCUGUCCAAAAAUAGAUUGAUCAUUAGAAGGAGGAUACCUUUUGAGAUAACGAGUGACAUAGAAGUUGAUGUCUCCGCCCAUGCUAAUCUUUGCGUCACGGUGAAAGUCUGAAAUGCAUAGGGACCAAAAUCUUGCAAAAGUGAGCUAUGUAGGGUUUAAUUUUCGAUUCUCCUUGGGAAUGUACUGAAGGAAGUCAUCCCAUAUGAUCUGACCGUAGUUGAGAUUGUGCCCAGUGAAAAUGCUCUACACUAAUUCGAGUAGUUUGACGCCCAUGUUAUCUAUUCAUCCGGUUCUUCCUGAGACACUGCAGAUGACAAAGAGGCAAACAAACUACUAGACCGCAUGGAGUUGAUUUUUCUUGAACUCGCCUAUACUCUUAAGCUUUUUCUGGUACCCAUAUGGUAGACUAAAGUGAUGAAGUCCGUCACACUAGGAGUAAAGAACUUUGUAGAGGGAUGUACCCAUCUGAGGUGUAUUUCUCCUGAUGGAUGAAUAUACCUUGAAGGACCUGUUUCACUUGAAGUCUUAGAAAGAAAUUAAUCUCUCUAUUCAUGCUCAUGAGCUUCGCAAAUUCAUCCACCAUCCCUUGAUCAGUUGAUCCGAAGAUGAUAUCAUCCACAUAUAUUUGUACAAGCGUAAGGUGAUUACCAUUUUCUUUUCAGAAUAAAGUGGGAUCAAUCACUCCUAUUUUGUAACCGGAUGAGACAAGAAAUUCUAAGAGAGUCUCAUAUCAUGCUCUUGGUGCUUGUUUUAGACCAUAGAUUGCUUUCUCAAACUUAUAACAGUGAUCUGGGAAUUCAUGACUUUCGAAACCCAGAGGUUGUUGAAGAUAAACCUCCUCUUUCAAUUCACCAUUUAGGAAGGUAAUCUUUACAUCCAUUUGAUGUACAUUGAUGUUCUUAUGAGCGGCAUGCGCUAAGAAGAUGUGUAUGCCCUCCAUCCUAGCUACGGGGGCAUAUGUUUCAUAAAAAUCAACAACUUCAAGUUGACAAUAAACCUUAGCGACUAGUCUCUAUUUGUUUCUAACGACCGCACUGGAUUCAUCUAAUUUAUUUUUGUAUGCCCAUCUUUUUCCAAAAAUAGUGUGACAUUUUGGCUUCGGAACGAGUUGCCAUAGUUUUUUUCUUUCAAAUUCUGCCAGUUCCUCCUGCAUUGUAGAUAUCAAGUCGGGCUCCAUUAAGACUUCUUUGAUGGUUCUAGGCUCGACCGAUGACAUAAACGCUACAUAGUGACAGUGAUCAGUUAAAUCUUUAGAGGAACGAGUUUAAAUAUCUGUGGAUGGAUUUUCGAUGAUUUAACCCGGUGGGUAGUCCUUCGUUCAUACAUGAAGACAAGGUUGCAGAUGAUCAGCGACUGUUGUGGAGAGAUUGUCUUCAAUAUCUGAAGACUCUGCGGCAGAAGAGGGCAGUUCCCCCUGGACUUGUGAGCAACCCGCAGAAUUGUUGGGGAUUGGGGAAUUGGGAUUAGCAUAUACUUUAUUAAUUGAGAUAGGUACCCCCUGGAUUGCUGAUGGGAGUUCCCGAGAAGCUUCCCCCUAGAUUAUAGAGAGUGAUUAUCCUUGGAUCGGUUUCAGUGUCAAUCUUCUCUAUAUCUUUAACGUCUGAGUCCGAAGAGACAUUUGAUGGGAGAGUAAUUCUACGAAUAGGAACCGGAGUUGUUUCCUUAGGUACUGGAUCCUUGAUGGUUAUCACUUGAACCGAAGUGGAGUUUUCCCCCUCAACCGGCAAGGUAGAAGUAGUGAGUGACACAUCAUCAGAUAGGGUAGGACCAGAGACUUCCGCAUGCUGUUGCUGAGGUUAUGAAGACACGAGAACUUCAAAUAGUUGUGCAGUCUCUACAGGGUCGAAAAGAUCAUCAUUGUUUAUUUCAAAUAAGUUUAGGGGACCUGAAGAGGCUGGGAAAUCACUUCCAAGGAUGACUUUAGGUUCUUUCGACUGAGCAGUGUUACGGAUGUAAUAGUCAUCGAAUUUGACAUCAAAGCUUUUGACUAUUAGUAUCAUGCAUUUGAUGAGAAUCCUAUAGGCUACUUUGUUAGUCGAAUAGCCGAGAAAAAUGCCUUCAUCUGAAUUUGUUGCAAACUUGUUAAGAUGAUCCUUGUUAUUGAUCACAAAACAUCUACACCCAAAGAUGUGAAAGAAUCGAACAUUUGGUUUGCGGUUGUUGAGACCCUCAUACGUAGCUUUGUUGAGACGCUUAUAGAUAAUGCUUCGAUUUUGGACAAAGCAUGUUGUGGUCAAUGCUUCGGUCCAGAAGUAGAGAGGAAGGUUUGCAAAGUUGAACAUAGAUCUGGCUGCUUCUACCAGAGUUCGGUUUCUUCGCUCGACAACUCCAUUUUGUUGCGGUGUGUAAGGAGCUGAGAAAUUACGACUAAUACCUUUUGAAACCAUGAAACUGUUUAGAAGAUGGUUAGUGACCUUAGUUCCAUUAUCACUUCGGAUGUGACGCACUGGUAAAUUGAUUUGAUGUUCAAUUUCUUUAAUGAAAUGAAUCAAAACCUGCAGUGUUUCAGACAUGAGUCUUAAUAAAAAGAACCAUGUGAAACGAGUGAAAUCAUCAACUACAACCAGUAUGUGUUUCUUGUGCUGGAGACUGGCUAUGGUAGAUGGGCCGCAAAGAUGAAUAUGUAUAAGUUCUAGUGGUUCAGAAAUUAAAGAAUCAAUUGCUAUAUAAUGGCUUGCUUUGGAUUGUUUGCCACACUCACAUGUAGAACAAAGAGUGUUGUUGUUGUACUUCAGAAAGGGAAGACCUCGGACGAGUUCUCCGGUGACAAGGUGGUUGAUAUAUCUGAAGUUCAGAUGAGCUAGUUUGCGAUGCCAUAACCAGCUGACCUCAGAUACUGCUUUGGACGGAAAGCAUAGCUGCGGUUUCCCAAUGAUAAGAGAGACAUCCAAUAGAUACAUACUUCCUUAGGAUAUGGAUUCGAUCGAAUAGGUGCUUCUAUCAAUUGUCAUUAUGUAGCAGUAGUGUUUAUCAAAUUCAACCCGAUGGCCUGCUUUACAUAGUUGGCCUACACUGAUGAGAUUAUGUUUGAGACCUUCUACGUAAGCAACCUUUUGGAUGGAGAAGUUUCCUGUAGUAAGUACACCGUAUCCUCAGAUUAUUCCAUUCGCAUUGUUCUUGAAUGUAACAUUACCACUAUUACAUAUAGGCCUAAAGUCCCGAAGGUAUUCUAACCUUCUGAUCAUGUGCAAGGAGUAGGCACUAUCUAUUAACCACUCCUCUUCUUGAUCCUCCUUGUACAUUACCUAAAAAUUACAUGGUUGGUUUGGGCACCCAAACAAGUUUGGAGCCCGAGGAAACUAGUGGGUUUUUCAAAGAUGCAUGAAUCGAGGCUGUAGGGACAAGUAUUAUGUCAAUCUUGAGAUCUAGACCUUGGAUUUUGAGAAUUUUUGGAGUGUUGUGACAUUUUGAAAAGUUAUGAGAUUUUUUGAAAAUACGAGGUUUUUGAGAAGUACGAGGUUUCUGACAGGUACAAGUUUUUUGAAAAUACGAGGUUUUUUUAGACAAGCCAGGUGGGGCUCGAGAAGAUCCCUUUUGACCAUGAAAUCUAGAUGAUAGACUUUUAUCAUUCAUCCAGACAACAGACUUGAUCAGCUGUCCAAAGGGUGUGGGAUUAGUCUUGUGACUAGUCCCAAAUUGCGACUUGACAUUGAUACCCUUGGGAUUUGAAAAACCAAAGUUCGAAAUGGUGUGAGUACGUGCAAAUCUACCAGAAUGUGUCUUCCUGAAUAGUUGAGGUGACUAAAAAUGUGUUGGAGUGGGCAAAAUCCCUUUCCAUUUUGGGUCGUCUAAGGAAUAGACUUAAAAACCAUUACUUUGAAAACACUUUUCUUCCUUUUGGGUUUUUUCAGAAGAUUUUGAAAAAGUUUUGGGAACUCUACAUUCCUUUUUGCUUGAUUUCUUGACUAUCUUGUUUUUAGAAAAAUAGUUUUAGAAAACAAGUUUUUCUGGACUCUUGGGUUUUGAAAUUUUAACUUGCCUUUUGUUUUUUGAAAAUAUUUCUCAUUUUUUACAUUGAGAUUGAAGUACCUCUUUGAAGGCCAUUUUUUAUUGAGUUUUUGGAGAACCGAAGUCAUUGAGAUUCAACUGCGGUUUUUUAGAAUCCUUUGAGUGCUUUUGAAAACACAAACAUAAUACAUCUGAACUAGAAAGUUCAAGAUUCUGGGAACAUUGACCAUACUCAAAGUUUUCUAUAGGCAACCCAUGAUGGAUUGGUUGAAUGGUCACUAAAUUCUUAAUUUCUGUUUGUUGUAAUGGAGAUUGUACUACCGCAGUGUAAGUCUGAGUUAAUUUCAUUGUGGGACAUUUGAUGAGAGGCAGUUGGUCAUACUGCGGUUCAGAAUUGCAGUGACGGUACUGCAGUCUGAAGGUAACGAUGGGAAGUUCACAUAAACUUCAGAUUCUUUCAUAAGAAUUUUUUCAUCAACGACUGAUGAAGUCUGAGAGUUGGGAUAAAUUGUACGAGAGAUAGGAAUUAGAUCACUUGAGUGACCUAAAAAUUCAGGAAGAAUUUCCUCAAUAACACAAUUAUUACUCAGAUUACUAAGUCGACCAAAAUGAACUUUGAUGUCUUUGGGAAAGGUUUUUUCAUUGACUGGGAAAUGGAAUUCUCGGUCCGGGGUGACAUAGGGAUGGUCUUUAUUAAAUCUGGGUGAUGAAUCCUUUGCGGUGGAGUACCCAUUGGACCAACCCCAAUUAAAUGUGUUAUCUAUGGUUCCAUUAUUCACAAGACUCUCAAUAGCUUUACUUUCAUUGAACAACUUUUCUAUUAAAAGAUUUAAUCAUACGAUUUCAUUUUGAGCUAAAUCUCUUUGAUCUAAUGCUAUGCUUAUUUGGGUUUCGCAUAACAUUCUUGCAUCCUUCUCUAACCCUAAGUCUCUCUCUAGCAUGGUAACCUUGAGUCUUUUGUCUUCUAGAUGUCCUCUAACAUGGAACAUUUCUUAGGAAACAAUGUUCUUCUCAUCUAGGGCUUUGUUAUAGUCUGAAAGGACGACAACGUCAUUAAGGUCGUCUAUGAAUGGUUGACAAUCAUGCAUGCUAUAAUUAAGAGUUUGGAUCAUGAGUUUUACCUGUUCAACGAUGCUUAGAGUUCCAUCCUUUACAAUGUAGCAGUAGUUCUUUUGAUGCAAGUUAGACCCAUCGUCAUCCGCAGUUGCCAUCAUGCAAAAGUUUCCUUUACCCUUGAUGUUGCUGAUGUCUUCAUCGUCGUCUCCGGAUGAACAGUGGUCUCUUUUGACUUGGGCUACGUAUGCCCUUGCUUUUUCUUUUUCCUCCAUCUCAUGAGCCAUUCUUAGGUAGAAUGCUCUAUCUUUCACUAUAUUGGCUUUUCAGUCUUUUGCAAACUGAUUUUCCUUGUUACACUUGUGACAAAUUAUGACAUCCACCUUGUCUUUUGUUGAGGUACCGGAGUCAGUUAGCUUGACAUGCUGUGGUGCCUCUUUUGAUUGAGUGUUUUGAGGUUGCGGUGAUGGGUGAGGAUUUUUGGAAUAUCGAGAGUGAUUAUUCUGAGGAUUGAAGUUGCGGUUGAAGGGAGGUUUAUUAAACUGCUGAUUUUUGCGGAAAGAUGAGGGUGGUAGCCUGUUGAAUUGUUGGCUAACUAGAGCAAUGGGUUUUUGAAAUUCCUCUUCAUCAUCGUAUUCUGAUUCGGCUUCGUAUGAAUGCGGAGGGUUGUCAUACGUGGGAGAGUAAGAUUGAGUGUGAGGUACUUGUGCUACGAGAGUGAGUGGUCCAUCGAAGUCAGCACAAUCUUUGAGUACAAUUGAUUCUUGUGCUUGUAGUUCACCAUAAAGUUUGUAAAGAGAUAAAGAGUGAAUUUUUCUAUCUCCUUGGACUAUCAUCUUAGCAGUAGUCCAAUGUCUACCCAAACCAUUGAGAAACUGAAGAUUUGUCUCAUGGUUGCUUCGGACGGUGCCAACAUUUGAUAACUUUGUGACAAUUAGAUUGAACCUCUUGAAGGAGUCUUCUAGACUUUCACCAGCUUGAGCUUUGAAAUUGUUGAACUCGUUGAGUGCAGUUGUAAGUUUUUUUUAUCUUGAGGUUGUUUUGUACCUUCAUACAGCUUCUUGAGGACAUCCCAGAUUUCUUUGGCUAACUUGCAAUUUAUGAUGAUAUCAAAGUUGUCAGGAGCAACUCCGCAGGAUAUCUCAUAAAAAGCAACAACAUCAUUUUCCAUCUUAUACAUAUCAUCUUUGGUGGGACGAUUCAUGGUUGGUUGACCUCCUCCCAGUCUAGCUUGAGUGUCGUCAUUUUGAACCGGAGUUAGAAUAGAGACAUGAGUUACUUCUUCUACAAAUCUCCAAACAUCUCUUCCAAGUCUUCUUAGAUACCUCUCCAUUCUUUGAGAACAGUGAUGGUAUUUGUUUGCCACCAAUAUUGGAGCUCUAUUCGAACCUCCAACACUGUUUGAAACAUUGAGGGAUAAUGUUUGUGCCAUAUUUCCUUGUUUUAAUGUUGAAAUAAAAUUGUUGUUUUUUUGUUUUUUUUAAGAAAUGAGCUCCAGUGGUAUAGAAGGCCUUUUAAAAUCAGAGUUCUUGUUUAAAAAGCAACCACUUUGGCUCUAAUACUAAUUGUUGAGAGGAAAACUUGAGUAACACACUUGAACAAAUGUUAGAACAACUAAUAAUGCGAAAUUAUGUUUAACUCAGUGGAUCAUAAAGCUCAACAAUAAUAAGUUAACAUUAGAUAGUUAGAUAGUUAGGUGCAGAAAUAUAAGGAAAUGUAAAUGACAACAAGUAUUAUAUCAAGAAGACACUUAAGUUAAUUCUUCACAAGGAUUGCAAUAAAAAUAAGUUAGUAAGUGAGAUUAGGCUUAGUGAUUAAGUCAAGACUGACUUGCUCCAAAGAGAGGCUACAUAGAUACUUAGUAUAAGAAUGAAUAGAGAAAGAUCAAAACGUCUAAUAGGACUAAGACAAAGUACAUACUUAGAUAUGAUCUGGAAGAGGUUCAAGAUGCAAGAUUCCAAGAAAGGGUUUCUAUCCAUGCGACAUAGAAUAAGAUUGAGUAAAGAUCAGUUUCCCAAUACAAGUGAUGAACUGGAAAAAAAAUUAGUUGAUGUCCUUAUGAUUAUGGUAUAGGAUUGAUCAUGUAUGCCAUGAUAUGUCGUCGAACUGAUAUCUCAUAUGCUCUGAGCAUGAUUUUAGUUUAUCAGGAGAACAGUAACUUGGAACAAUAUUCUUGAUUAAUGGUGUAGCAGUAACUUGGAACGGUUCCAAGAAGAAGACAAUUGUAGACUUUGCAUGCGAGUUAGAGUAUACAGCAGCCACUGAUGCUACAGAGGAGGCUAAAAUACCACUACAUAUGGAAGCGCCUUAAGGAUGGAGACAUUAUCAUGAGUAGAGUAUCAUUAGAUGAGAAUCCGGGUGAUCGUUUCAUGAAGCCAUUAUCAAGGACCAAGCAUGAUAUUCGUACCAGGUAUAUAUUUAUUAUACUUUCUAAUGAUAUGCCAUAAUUAUUUAAUUGUUAGUUUGAUAAAUUUUGAGACAUCUAAUAGUAUGAAUUGUAACGGAUUUGUUGUUUAUUUUAUGGUGAAUUAAUAAAGAGUUGGUGACACUACCAUACGUUGUUAAUUUAUUAUUAUGUUUCUCUUUUUUCAUGUUUUAGACCACUUCCUGAGUGUUAACAUACUCAAAGCUCUCUAGUUGGUCAUACUCUAGGAAAUAAGUAGUGAUUUAAGAUUAUAAUGGAGUGUCAGUAGAUUGUCCAUAUUGAUGGGACAUAUCAUGGAGAUUGUGAAGCACACUCAUGUGUUAGAAAUAUAGAUUUAAGUAUUGGACCAACUUGUACUUAGAGAUUACUUCAUGUAUACAUUCAUGAGUAUUUCUAAGAUGAUAAUAUCUUCUAUAUUCAAAUAGAGGUACAUCAGUUUUUUGCGCUACGAUUUUAUUUUGCAUUGGUUUACUCAAAUGUUAUUCAUAACCGGUAGUAAUAAAGUGUAUGUCCAUGUGUGACAUGAUGACUAGACAAAAAUUAUGUAGUCAAAGUUUAUUUGUUCCUUCAGUCUUAAUAGAAGAAUCAAUAACUAUGGGUCCCUAGAUGAUUUGGUGUUGACAUCUUAAGUACCUGGCUAGGUCCAAAAUAAAUUUGAUUGUUCAAUUUAGUAUUUACAUUUAGCCGUCACAAAUCUUUAUAGGGAAACACACAUAAUAUUUAAUAAUGAUAUUUCCCUUAUCCAUGUCUUAGAUUUAUCUAGAUAUCAUGUAGAACAAAGGAAUAGUUGAUCACAUAUCUAAGUGUUGGAUUCUGAUUAGAUCAAAGUUCAAAUGAUGUAGUGGAUGGCACUCUAUAUGUUGAUUAGUGGAGAAGUAUUAAACCUUGUAUAGGUAACAACUUCUUUAAAUGGUAGACUGUUGGAAAGAGUGUCUAGGGUCAUUAAUUAUAUGUAAUAUUUCUAAUAACACCAGAGAUUUUUAUGUUUCACUCAUUACCCAAAUUGAAUAGAAUAAAUGAAGGAUAGAUUUGUGAUGUCCUAAUUUUCAACCCAAAAUUUUGAUUUUUAUUUAUUCAAAUAUAUCAGAGAGUAAUUACAUUUGUGGAGAGCAUGAUACAAAUUCCCAUGUGUACAGUCAGGCCAUGUCGUUCUCACGAAUCAGUGAAGUAUCAGAAAAAUAUUUAUAAUUAACUGGUUAAGCGUGAAGGUUAGUGAGUUCCCCAAAAUACCAUAUAUCACAAUACAUAUACAUGCUUACAAACAAUGGCUCAUAAUAUGCAAUAAUAUGUAUAUCUUAGACCUACGCCCCAACCAUUUCAUCUUCAACAUGGGUCUAUAUGCAGUUACUAGCAAUAUGAUAUUUAGUCACCAUGGGUCUAUGUUUACUUAUGGCCUACCUGAACUUUUGUCAACACAAGUCUAUGUGUAGUUAUGGCUUACUUCCCAUUUUGUUAAUACGAGUCUAUGUGUACCUACGACAUACGUGUCAUCUUGUGAACACACGGUACUAUAAGCUCCUGAACUACUGUCAUUCUACCAUCAUCUGCUAACUAAACCUUAAUAGAUAAUUCAAAUAUCACAACAAUUAUGCACAUAGAGACUUCACUUUCAACUAUAAUAGUACAAAAAUAUAGAGGUAACACUUACUAGUCUACAAGUUUCGAGUACAUUAAUAUUUAAACCCAUAUAUAUAUUAUACUAUCAGCUCUACUCUACUGGCUCUAUAUCCUAACAUACAUGGAAAUAUAUUUUGAUACAUAGUAUAGUGAUAUAACUCACCUGGAAAAUUACUCAGAUGAUUAUCAACUAUCCUUCAAAUGAUCAAACUGGCGGUAACACGUGUAUUAGGUAUUAUCCUAUAAUGUUACAACUUAUUAAUAUCUAUAGAAAUCUGGUAGAAGUUAGAUUCUUCACAAAUUCCACCACUAAUAUCAUGGCUAUCAAAUUAGCCAGGCUGGACAUUUGAGAGGCAGGACCAUUCCGAUAUAUAUCCAUUCUGAAAUCCAACAAUGAGGCCAAUAUACCGAUUCUAAACACAUCUCUCGUAAGUAGACCAAUAAGUGUAUUUAACAGGAAUUAAUGACUAAUUGGUUACAUAUAGGUUCCUAACAAUAUUUAUGAUUAUAAACAUAAGCUAUCCAAAAAACUUAGCAAGAGUAGGUGCACUUAUAGUGUUUUCUAGCGAAGAACCUCAAAAGUUGCGGGCAAGACCUCGGUAUCGAGCACUUCUCAUUGCUCGAUUAUUUGCUACCCUAGAGCCUUGCUAAAAUGAGAUUCUUUAGUGCCUUGAAAACUCUGAAGAGAAUCAGAUCUUAUAUAUAUAUAUAUAUAUAUAUAUAUCGAGAGAGAGAGAGAGAGAGAGAUUUGGUGUGUGAUAGGAUGGGAGGGCUGAGCAUUAACUUAUAGGCUUGGAAAGGAGGGGUGUCACACGCACUAUCUUAGGAGUGUCACACACUAGGUCGGCAUCAUUGGCUGGCCACUCAAGAACUCCGCCACAUGUCUCUACCAUAUUUAUCUACCUCACCCCCUUCUAGAAGGUGCGCGCCGCGUAACCUAAGUGUGGUUGGCGCUUCUCGGGAAACGUUAGAGAAUUGUAUAUUUUGUAAUACAAGCUCCAUUUUUUACGUUCAUUAUAUCAACAUGCAAUUAUCGAUGUGUACCACAACGUUCAUAUAGACAACAUUGACUAAUUCUCACUUUAGUUUUAAAGUUAUAUUUUUAAUGGGCUUAGACUGUUAAAACCUGUAUAAAAAUCAUAAUCUUCUAACAUGAAAUUCAUUCCUGACUGUAUUUAUAUCGGCAUAAUCCUAUUCAUGAGUUUCUUAUCUCUCAUUUAAAUAGUUUUACGUAAUACUCAACCAAUCUUAAUUUUGAAUUCAGUGUUGCACACUAUUGUACCGAAACAUUGAAAAACCAUAACUUCGUCACAGAAAAUCAGAUUUAGGCAUUUUCCAGAUGCACGCUCUUGCUUUUACGACUACUAUGUGCUUUGUUUAGAUUACUAAGGCUAAUAAGAAACCUAUAUCUGAUUCACUUUUUACAAUACGUUUUUUCAUAUAGGGUUGAACGCAAAACUUCAAAUAAUCAUAACUUCUUCAUACGAUGUCAGAUUUGAGCGUUCUAUAUAUCUACAAAAAAUCAUAGUGAUAUUUCCUACAUGUUUAUGAUGAUGACUUUGUCUAGAAAGAAAUACAUUUUUACUUCAGAUUUUAUAAAUAGAUGUUUCUAUUAAAACCCAUUGAUUCGUGAAAACGGGGUGUUAUAACUCUCCCCCUCUUAAGUAGAUUUUUUCCCUGAAAUCCUACUCCUAGUAUACCUAGAUGUCAUCUUAUCGAAGUUAUCGAGAUCAACAUGUGAUCUAUCCAAUGUUGUCACAACGAUGCUCUUUGUAAAACGUCAUUUUCUACCUUAUACACACUCUCGAAUUCCUCAUGAAGUCUUCUGAAACCGGGAACUCAUCGUUCUGAAUUUCUAGAAUUUUAUACUCUCUGAUUGACGAUUUUUGUUAGAUGUGAAAUGUCGAUUUGUUCAUUUGACUAGGAAUAUUAUCGACUCAAUACAAAGUGAUUAACUAGAGAAGUGUACCUAUGUCAUACUAAUGGAAUCCAUUUUUUGAAACAUGCCUCUAAUAAGGCUUAUGGAAUAUCCCAUAAAAUAUAGACAAAUCUAGAUUGCAAAUGGUUUUUCUACCAAGUUCAAGUGGUCUAACAUCCUGAAACUUAUCCAAAACAACUAUAAUGGGUGAAUUGGCUUGAAAACUCUAUAACCAAUACUCUAAUAUUGGCGACGAACUUAUGAUAAAGCUUGCUCAUCUUCCAACCUACUUGAUUAUAAGAGAUGGUAAGUCACAAUUAGCCUUCUCGCAAGGUUCUAACUACGUUACAUAUAUUAAGGUAUAACUAUUCUUUGAACAAAUAAUUAUUAUGCUUAAUCACGAGAAACUAUCCAACUACUGGGAUUAAGAUCCCAAAUCACUCUUGUCAUUACCCCAUCGGGCAUGAAGACUCACGAUCAACCUUUAAACGUUCUUAAAGACUCACAACCAUUAUCCCACUGUCUUGAAGAAACCCAACCAUCCUCCUUCCAAAAUAUCUAUACCACAUACCCCACAACGGGCCCAACUGUAACACUCCAGAUCAGUUAUUACCUUUAAAUCCCUUGAAAUUUUUAAAUGUUGCAUAGUAAGUCCCAUAAGUACGAUGGGUGUACUCAUGGGUACGCUUAGCGUACUUUACAAGAAUGAUCGCGUAGGGAUAGCACGUAUGCUGGGGGUACGUGACGGAUGUCCAAACCCUAAUUUACAGACUUGAGGCCUAUAUAAGCAUCCUUAUCUCAUUUGAGCCUCUCCCUAAUCAUUCUCUUUCACCAUCAAACGUCUCUGAGGACCCUAAUACCAUUAGAGAGUGUGCUUUGAGCUUAAGAAGUGCAUUUGUGGCAAUUUUAGUGUCCAUUCAAGAAGAAGGAGUUGUCAAGCAAGCUUGGAGUGGGAUUAGGCUUCAAGAAUCUGUAUCUAGUUCACCUGGAGGAGCUUCUGCAGGUAUAAAGCUUUGAUCUUUCCUUCUUAUACUUUAGAUACAGUUAGGGUUUUCUUUCUGGUCCCUUUUGUUGGUUUUGGACCUUUUCUUAACAGUUAAGCAACUCCAUAGGUUAAAAUGGUUAGAUAUGAUCCUUGUGAGCAUGCUAGAUGCAUAAAAGUGCUAGCUUGGGGAAUAUCUAGACUCCAAGCAAUAUUUUGGGGCCUUAUAUGAAGUCCUAAUGUGAAGAAUGAAGUUUUUAAGUCCCAUAGAGCAUGAAAGGGCAUAAAGUUGCAAACGUUAUGCCCUAGGACAUCUUAAUGAGCUCAAAUUUGGUUUUGGACGUUAGAACGUGAAGUAUUAAACACUUACUAAAAUGAAUUGCUUAAUCUGUUUGUACGCUGGUUGUAAGUUAGUGUACGCCGCGCGUACUGCUUAAGGACUAAGUACGUUGUGCGUACCAGGGUUGUACACCAGGCAUACACACAACAGUUGGACUUGGAUUUGUUUUGGGCCUUCGAGCUUUUGGGCCUCAAUUAGUCAUUGGGCCUGGUCACGAUUUGGGGUUAGUGGGCCAGUUUAUCUAUUUUGGGCCAUCGAUGUUAUGGUUGGGCUUUAUUAGGCCAUAAGCCCAUUAAUAAUUUUGGAUAUGGAUUUUGGUCCAUUAACUAAGGAAGACUUUUUGGGCUAUUGUGAAAGGAAUUGGGGAUUUGUGUUCUCCACUUAGAUGGUGUUUGAUUCUAACAUGGAGUAAUGUUAUUGUUGUUCAACAUGAGUGUUUACAUACUAUUAGGAGAGCAGCCUUUGGAUUCUUCAAACAGAGGUGAGUCUCCUCACCAUACCAAUGGGUCUAAAGCACCAAGAUCGGCCCAUUAUUUGUUAUUUCAUGUGCUAGUUUGUUAUGGAAUAUGUUAUAUUCUAGAUAUCAGUGAAACUUGAAUGAAAGACCUCGGGGGGUUCCCGGUGCACCUUUGUGUAAGACCUUGGAGGGUUUUCGAGGCAUUCUUAGUAAAUACCUUAGGGGGGGUUCCUGAGACAUUUGGGCUAAGACCUCAAGGGGUUCUCGACACCCGGAGUAAUACCCUGGAGGGUUUCUAGGGCAUCCUUGGGCUAAGACCUCGGGGGGUUCUCGAUGCACACGGAGUAAGACCCCUGAGGGUUUCCCGGGUAUCCAUAUAAGUCGUAUGCAUGGCUUAUGUGAUAUAUGUAGUUUAUGGCUGAUAUGAAACGUGAUAUGAGGAUUGUAUGUGCAGUAUGCUCUGGGGAAGUCACUAAGCAUUAGCUUACAGAUUGUGGAUUUGUUUCACGUUGAGCCCAAAGGCAAGGUCAAGGAAUGAUGGCGCGACAUGCACUCUCUCAGGCAUUUUUUUUUGACACUCUGAUGAAUUGAAAUAAAAUUAUACUUAGUAUGGAUUUUGGAAAUGAGUGUAUUUGAGAAUUUCAACAAUCAUGGAUAGUGUUUUGGUUAAUUAAAAAUGAAAAAAUUCUUUUGAAAAUUAGGUCGUUACAAGUUGGUAUCAGAGCCUUGGUUUGAGGGAUUCGGGCACACCCUCGGGUGUGUCAGGAUUCAAACUAAGGAAAUAGUAAAAUUGUUUUCAAAAAUAAAAUAAAAGUUAAAGCUGUUUACAGAAUGGAAAAGAUGAGAGUGCAACGCGCGUGAUCAGCCGAGCCAAGUAAGUAGUUCCCCAAUGUGUUAGCCAUGUUAUACUGAUAUUUGAGCUUCGAUAACCGUAUGGAACUUGCUAUGUGUAUGGUUUUAAAAUUGUAUACGGUCAGGAGUUUAUAGCCUUAGUAUGAUUAAUUUGGCCUUAUUUCAUGUUCCUUGUUUGGUUGUGGUCUUAGGGUAGAAUCUGUUAUUUGAAUGUCUAUUUGAUCCUUCUUCUGUGUAUAAUUUGCAUGCAUAAAAGCAACCGGAUAAGAUCGGUCUGAUUGAUGUGAGUAGAGCAAAUUUUAGGACAGCCUAGGACUGUCGGAUGUGAUUAAUUUUGGGACGAUUUGGAGUUAUCACCUUGAGCCUUCGGAAAGGUACAGGUAGGUGUAGAAGGUAGUAUUGGGCCCGUACUACUGAAAGCGCAGGACCUGUACCCAAACCAAUGUUAGACUUGGAAGCUCUAUGGAGGACCAGUGUGGGAGAAUCCCCUUUUAUAGACAUACUGAUUAUUAUGGUUUAUGGUAUUGCAGUACAGUAUGGUGGUGACACGACACGGCGAUGGGAAAUCAGGAUCGGGAUCUGGAUCUGUGUUGGGCGAUGGUACCGAGCCCAUUGAUGAGAGGUUGCAUGAGCUCAUCGCAGCCGAGGUUACGAGGGGCAUCCUUGACGCUACCCCGGUUAUAUUUUGGAUGGUCAAGAAGGGUAUGAUUGAGAUUAUGGAGGAGAGGCUCAAGGUAAUCAAAUUCGAGAUUGUUGCGGGUUAGGUUGGGCCCCGAACUCCCUUAUUUCGGGAGUUCAAGGCGUGUGCAGCGCCGAAGUUCUUUACGGCCAAAAACCCCAUUCUAAGAUAACACCGGGUGGCGGAUAUAUAGAACGCCCAACACACGAGUUCUUGUAGGGAUGUGGCAAAGGUGGGUUUUGCUUGAUGUAUGCUGAGAGACAGAGUCCGAAGCUAAUGGGGUGAGGUGACUAGCCAGGUGGGAGCAACCAGGGUGGCUGAGAUGACAUGGGCUGAGUUUAUUAGGCCUUUUGAUUUGGAGUUUGCACCACCGAUUGAGGUGCAACAGCUUGUGAGUGAGUUUCAUGACCUUCAGCAGACCACCGCGACUGUGGCGGAGAUCACCGCGAAGUUUCAGGAAGAAGCAUUGUUGAUUCCAUAGCAUGCUACCGAUGAGGACAUCAGGAGGAUGAGAUAUUGUUCCAUGAUGAGGGUGUUGGAUUAGUGUCUAAGUCCAUAACUAUAUUUGGUAUGUACUUGACCCGACUCGGCAUGGUGCAUUUGGGUUGCAUGGCAUCAUGCAUUUGGAUAGACUAAAAAAAAUGAGAGAAAUAACACUUAAGGUUUGGUAAUAUAUUGUAAGUUCUAAUAUAUUAAUAAUAUUAGUUAAUGAGUAUUGAUCAAUAAUUAACUUGGAAUUAAUUAAGUGAUAAAAAGGAGACUAACUAAAUAUAUGGGUUGAUUGUGUAAAUCAUCCAUACUUGUAUAGUGGGCUAAUUCUCCAUGGAUUAUCAAGUUGGGCUAAAACCCAUAUGAUGCCCCAUAGAUGCCCCAUGGUGUUUUUGUACCCAUGGAUCAUGGAAAUGAAAGGCCAUGAAAAUCAGGGUUUACAUGGUGUAACCCUAAUUGUGACACAUUAUAUAUGCAUCUUAUUCUUGUCAAAAUCGGCCACCAUGAGAGACUAUGAAGGAAUGGUGAGGGCAAGCCGAUUUCAUGAAGUGUAACAUUUCUCUCUAAGUUAUUCCAAGUGUAUUUGAUGUUGUGUGAACCAUUUGAGGUGUCACACUUGGGGCACUGGGCUCUCGAGUUUCAUGGAGUCAAGCUACAUCAACAAGGUAUGUAUUUCUAUCUAUUUUAUUACCCAAGUAUCAAAGAUUGUAUACUAGUUAGGGUAAUACCUUAGAAUAUUCAUAUUUGCAUGUAUAAUAGAGAAAACAUAGAUCCAAGGUAUUUAGGGUUGCAUGUACGCUUAGGAAUGUUAGAAUGCUCAAAACCCAAUAGUGGUAUUAGAGACUAGGCUUGUUUAAUUAUUAUACUUGCAAAAUAUGCUUAAAAAUCAAAGUUUUUUGUUGUCUAGACAACGGACUCGGUGAGUCCAUUAGGUGACUCAACGAAUCCAUGCCUUAAAAGUGUUCAAAACAAUCCAACUCGUCGAGUUGGUUCAUGCACUCGACGAGUUCGACCCCCAGGCUUGUUUUCUUGUGGUAAUGUUCAUUCUAAUCCAAUUUCAAAGAUAAUUGUGAACAAAUUCAUGUUUUGUAUUAGUUUAAGCAUUAGGCUAAUUACAUGAAAAAGUUUGACUUGAAUUAUCUUGUUCUUAUGAGUUGCCUAGAUUAAUAGAAAAGUUAUGUGAAAUUGUUGUUUGCAAUCCAAAUUAAUUUAAGAGUUGAUUCUAAAAUGUGUUUUUGUAACUUGUCCUCAAGUUAUAUGAAAAGUUACAUUUAAGAUUCAUAAAAGUCAAAAAUAUUUCCAUAGGUUAUGAAUAAAGAAAAGUCACAUUCUUUUAAUAGUUUAAAGUGUUCUAUAACUUGUCCUCAGGUUAUGGAACUUGAAGAGUUUUAGAAUUAAAACUAUGUUAAACACAUAAUUUGUGGAAAUUGAAUAGUUUUGAAUAGUUUCAAAACUUUCCCUCAAGUUUAGGAAUUUCAAAAGUUUUCCCUUAUGAAUACUAUAAUUCCAAGUUAAGCCCUUAGAAUUUUAAAAGUUAAAAUUCAACUCUUAUACUUUAUAAUAUUAUAAGUUAAUAAUAUCUAUAUAUAUANGAUAUGUGUGUGUGUGUAUAAGAGCAAGUCGUCUUACCAUUAGUAUGCUCCAUUCAUGAAGUCAGUCUAUAAGGGGGUAUAAGGUUAAUGCCUAUAAAAUGGCAGUUUAAUAGGUGUCCACUCUCACCCACCGCUUCCUUGAUCGGUGGAGGGUCGUUAGAUGAACGGGUAGGACAAGGACUAUAAUUCUACUUUCAUUAAAAGUAUUAAUGAUAAAUAUAAAGUAAUUAAAUAUUUUUAUAAUUCCCAGUCUUAGUUACUUUAGGAAAUUUUGAAUACUAAUUCAUGAAAUUACACUUUGCAGUUUGUUUAACUCGGUUAGUGGAGUGUUUGUGGUUAACUGACAUACUAGCUUGAUUUAACAAGGUUGGAAAAGGGUAACUUAAUGUUUAUCAUAGAUUCGGUGGACCGCGUGUGGUUAACCGACACAUCGAUUAAGAGGUAAAUUUAAGGGUACCAAGUAAUUUGCAUGGUUACUUCACACCUUGUUUUGUGAUCCUCAGCAUCCCAGUCACAAAACCUGAAGGGCACACUCGAGAUUGAAACAUGCCAUUGAACAGUUCAAUGAAUCUCAAAAGAUCUAGGAGUUUCAAAUCCAAUUAAAAAUGUAAUAAUUUAUUUCGUUUUUCAUGGUGGAAAUUGGUGAAUCAUCAUUUACCUACCUUCAAAUAUUAUAUAGCUUGGAUUACGGCAUCCGUCUUCAAGUUAUAAAAUAUUGUGUUGCGUCCUAGCCUUAGUAUUCAUAUUGGUUGUUAUAUUAUGGACUUUAAAUCAACUAUCUUGAGUAUCUCCCAAAAAGAUGUCUGGUUCAGAAAUCUAUGAUCUUCCCAAAUCUCUUGAAACUUCACCUCCUCCACCUCCUCCAACUAUUCUCCCUUACCCACAAGUUCAAGGUCACUUAAGCCCUAAUGGCAAGAAAGGUCUAUGUUUGCUCACAUCUUGGAGAUGAAGUCACAUAUUCACAAGAUGGAAGAGUUGGAUGUCAUAGUCUUAAGAAAUUUGGAUGUUCAAUCACUUUCUCAGUCACAUAGUGAGUUUCUUUGGGACAACUAUGAAAUAGUCUAUGACAUGACCCUUAAUGAUCUUAUAUAUUUGCUUGUUGCUGCUGAAUCAGAAAUGAUUUGAGGACUA
RNAcentral lists this long non-coding RNA (58131 nucleotides) under Lactuca sativa (garden lettuce). Its description in RNAcentral is "long non-coding RNA (LSAT_LNC007444)". The record is from RNAcentral. Lineage: Eukaryota; Viridiplantae; Streptophyta; Magnoliopsida; Asterales; Asteraceae.